This 52602-nucleotide long non-coding RNA is filed under the name Pelobates cultripes (western spadefoot toad). The record is from RNAcentral. Lineage: Eukaryota; Metazoa; Chordata; Amphibia; Anura; Pelobatidae.
CAAAGGGUGAUCUUACUGGGCUCUGCUUUGCUUUAAGCAGUUUGCAUUGUAACACAAUCUUUCUGAGUGGCCUUCUGCCAGCAGUGAAGUGGUUAAAAGCUUGUCUUGGAGCAGGGUGGGACUACACUGCCACUGCAGCCACGUCAGCUUUCACCCCUCUGUGUCCUAAUAAAGUUAUACCGCAUUGAAUAUCUCCAGCACGGUCGCUCAGGCUCUCGGGAGUUGUAGUCUUCCUUCCCUCUGUAUAGUGGUUCUUCUAAUGGGCUGCUUGCUGGGACCCAGCUAAGCUGAAGGUAAGAUCCAGCAUUGGAGUGAGGUUGUGGCUGGCAGUGUGCAGCUGCUGGAGCUGUGUGUGUUUUACCCAAUGUAUUCCUGUGCCUGUGUGUGGAUGGCUGUGCUCUGGAGCCCUGUGCUGAGCUCUAAGUUCAGGGAAUUGUGCUUCUGUCGGGUUGUGCAUUUAGGAUUUCCUGGCUGGCUGGCUGGGCAUGGAGCUCACACACUUUUUGCUGUGUGUGCAGUCACUGAUCCUCUCCUUAUAAUGAGGGUCAGCACAUUCAGACAGACAUGCUGUAGAUCUGCUCUGUGAGCUGGCUGAAUGGCUGGCUGCAGCUCGCAGAGUUUAGGGAAACUUAUAUGGGAGCCACCACACUCACUGCUUCUACUCUAGUGCCCCCCUCCACUCACUGCUUCUACUCCAGUGCCCCCCUCUUCACUCACUGCUUCUACUCCAGUGCCCCCCUCUUCACUCACUGCUUCUACUCCAGUGCCCCCCUCUUCACUCNNNNNNNNNNNNNNNNNNNNNNNNNNNNNNNNNNNNNNNNNNNNNNNNNNNNNNNNNNNNNNNNNNNNNNNNNNNNNNNNNNNNNNNNNNNNNNNNNNNNCCCCAAAGUGAAUUUCAAGGCACAAACUGCAGAAUUGCUACCUUUCAAAUCAAUGGUAACAUAGUAACUGUAAUACUUUGAUGUUAGAGAUACAAAAAGUGUGUGUGUGUGUGUGUGUAUAUGUAUAUGUGUGUAAAAACAGAUGGAAAAAAUGAUCUGCGAAACAAAUGGAAAAAAUGAUCUGUGCUGGUUAGUAUAGCAGGCAGCCCCUCCUAUCAUAUAGCAAUGUGCUAUGCUUGGUCACAUUGCUUCCAUUUUAAAGUCCAGUGCCCUGCUUAAAAGGACACUAUAGGCACCCAGACCACUUCACCUCACUGAAGAGGUCUGGGUGCAAUGCUCCUUUCCCCCUUAGGCAUUGCAGUUUUAAAGAAGCUGCAAUGUUUACUUUGCAGUACCAAGACUGUUUGUUUACCAGACAGCUGCUAGAGGCGAUUCCUAGAUUUUCAUAGUCACGCACUGCAUGAGGACAUCCAUCGUCCGGGAAAACCCAGUAAGAAAGCAUUGAGGCAAUGUUUUCCUAUGGGUGGGGCCUAAAUCCGCACAUUAGGUGUGCUCCCCCCCCCCGAUCGGCUGAAGUUGGAAUCGGGUAAAUUUAAUAAAGGAUUAUUUAACUCUUUACAUCGCUGGGGAGGGGAAGGAGGCAGAGGAACACGUUCGUGUUGGGGAUACAUCGUUGUCCCUAACACUACAGUGGUUCUUUUAAAGUUAAAGUGUUGCCAAAAAUGCAGGCAGAGAGUACUGUUUGUGAGAAAGAUCUAUAAUUGUUAGUGUCUUUAAGUUUGGUGUCAGAGAGUAAAACAUGGGUGCAGUGCUGGAUUAGGGGUUUCUUGGGCCUGACUACAAACUUUGAAUGUAAGAUUGUCGCAUCUUGUUCAUAGAAGAUCAUCAGCCUGACUGCACUGUUUUUAUAAAUUGGUCAUUUUAAAGGAUCACUAACUCGUUUUCCUGAUACUAUAUAAUCCUUGGCUCUGAAGGGGUUAAAACCCCUUCAGCCACUUACCUUAAUCCAGUGCUGGGCUCCCUCGGCGCUGGUGACCUCUCCUCCCCGCCGACGUCUGUUCCCGAAUGGAGCCGAAUGCUCAUGCGCAGCAAGAGGCACGUGGGCAUUCAAACAGUCCAUAGGAAAGCAUUUCUCUAUGCUUUCCUAUGGACGUUCUGCACGCUAGAUGUGAUUUUCGCAAUAUUGGUAUCUGCUUAUAGGGAUACCGAUAAUACAGACCAGGACCACUGGACCCAUGACAAGCCGGCUGUCCUGGGGGGCCCGCAGCAGGCUCUUACUUACCUUCCCAGCUGCUCACUUCAGCUCCCCCUGUGUAAAUCUCGCGAGACCCGCGGCCAUCAGAGCGUUGCCACGGGUUACCAUGGCAACGUUCCGCGCGGCACACAGGCCGCGAGAUUUAGACAGGGGAGCUGAAGGGAGCUGCUGGGAAGAUAAGUAAGAACUUGCUGGGGGUGCCCACUGCGCAGUCCAUGCCACAGGACCACCAGGGAAUGUCAUAUCCCCCCCCCUCCCUGGCCAAGUAAGAAGCAGGUGGGGUUAAAAUAUAUAUAUAUAUAUAUAUAUAUAUAUAUAUAUAUAUAUAUAUAUAUAUAUAUAUAUAUAUAUAUAUAUAUAUAUAUAUAUAUAUAUACACACAAAGGUUAACCUGCACAGAGGUAUAAAUGGUCAGAAAUACAGAAUAUAUCCCCUACACAGAUAUCAUAUUUGUGAUAAACUUUAGAGUUUGUAACUGCACUUUUUUUGCACCCCCCCAUUUUACACACAUUACAUACCUACACAAACACACACAAUCUGCAUUAUAUAAACACACUAUACAAACACUCUGCAUUCAAUAUACACACACUCUGCAUUCACUAUACACCCUACACAAACACAUACACUCUGCAUUCAUUAUACACAGUCACACAUUACACAAACACACUGCAUUCACUAUACACACACACACUCUGCAUUCAUUAUAUACACACUACGCACACACACUGUAUUCAGGAUACACACACACUGCCCUCACUAUACACACACUACACAAACACACAUACUUUGCAUUCAUUAUAUACCCACACACACUCUGCAUUCAAAAUAUAUACACGCACACAACCACUCACUGCAUUCACUAUACACACACACACUGCAUCCACUACACAAACAUACACUGCAUUCCCUAAUCAAAUACUCUCACUGCAUCCACUACACACACACACACACACACACACACACACACACACACACACACACACACACACAUUCUUGAAAACAUAAAUUCUGAAUGGCAUGUUUAUUUUGUGCAUUUACCUUAAUAAAAAAAAGAAAAAGAAAAAGAUUUGCAAAAAAAUAAACAAACAUGUUCGGUUAACAGUAGAUUUGUGUAGAAAUAGUUUUAAUUUAUUUAUUUUUUGAAAUGGUAAGUGUAUAGAAUAUCUGUAAACUAUCGGUCUGAAAGUUCACAGAUUAUCGGUAUCGGCUCUAAAAAAAUCAAUAUCGGUCGAUCCCUAAUGUCAGAUAUAGAUUUUGUAUAUACAGUCCCAAAGCUAACUUUGGCAUUUCAUGUCUUUUAGAUGGUGUUGUAAAUGUAACACAGCCAGGCCACAUGAAUUACGUAGGCUGGAUCUCUAACACUGUUAUCAAAUAGAGCCCAUUUAGGACCCCUAAAUCAUAAAUGUAACAAGUAUACAUGUGUACACCUAAAAUUGAAAAACAUGAGAAGCUUUCUCCUUAAUUAAUUUAGAUAUCCAGUUAUACACUUCUACAAGCAGGGAAGAGAUCUCUCUCCCUCCCCUACGAAUACUUCCCCCAACCGCACUCUCUCUGCUGUUCUAUGCUCAUUCGCACCCACAGCAGCGGAAGAUGUCUGUUCUGCUCCUGUCCUCAUGCCACAUCACAUUACCUUGAUCCUAUUUCCUCAUAUCUCAUCCGCACUCUGUCCCCUUCUUUUGCUCUCCUACUUACUAAAAUUUUCAAUCUCUCUCUCUUUCCUCUGGCACAUUUCCUUCACCCUUCAAACAUGCAACCGUAACCCUGUAGCGGAUGGCAUGUGACUGUCCGCCAGAAUAAUAUUUUAAAAGACUGUUCGCAUGUUAAAACUGCCUGUACAUUGAAAAUUGCAUAUACAUUCGUAUGUUAGUUUGGUAGUUUCCUUCAUAGUUUAUGCGAAUGGAAACUACCGAAUGCAUAGACCACCUUAGAGAAGAAGUGUGUCCCUAGUUAAACCCUUAUUCCCUCUCUAACCGCAGUUGAGAUGUUGCAUUGCUGUAUCUGGGUGGCCGCCAUUCGGUAGACGAACACGCGGCGGCGGCCAUCUUACGCACGAACUCUCAGCGGUGUUUGGUCGUCGAGUGUCUGGAACUCAAAUCGGACACUCGAUUGCGCGAACACCGCUGAGACCUCCAGAACUCACGAACGGAGGGGCUAUUCGACUCCUCGUUCGGUGAGUUCAAUAUACUAAACAAGGGGUUUCGUGCGAACCCGGUAUUAUCUAUGGAUGGCAAGGAUUUCUACCUGUUUUUACCUCCCGAUCAAUCGUUUAUUCCCUAUAACUCCCGAACCCCUGGUCUGAUCUGGGUGAAUUUUGAGUAUGUUGGUCACCCAGACCAGGGCUACCAGGGUAUGCCACUUAAGUCCUGGUACCCCACGGUUUUGGGGUACAUCCAAGAAACAGGGGAAAAGGUACCAGGAUUAAGUGGAUUAAGUGUCACACGUAGGGGAGGGAACCUCUGUAUUAUUGGUUACUGCUAUAAUUACUGUAAAUCCCUCCCUUGUAUGGGAGAAUCCUUUAUAAGGAACUGCUGUGAAUAAAUCUUUAGUUCUGCUCCUGAUGCUGUGUGUCGUCCAGUCAUUGAGAUUGCGAUUGGGAUAUUGUUGGCGUCUUUUUUUGCCUGCUGGGAUUAUUACUCUGUGGGUUUAUUAUACUUGUUCCUGGGCAUUACUGGGAUCCAAAGUGGAGAUGGGCUGUGUAAUACCAGCUCUCCGCUACAAACCCCAAUGCUGAAAAAGCCAAACCUUGACCCCCAACUCCCCAUCCAACUACCUCCCUAUGUCGCUACUACCAUUUGCCUCCAGGAUCCUUGAGAGAGAUGUAUAUGCAAGAUUGACAGACUUCCUUAAAUCCAACUCUCUGCUUGACUCACUUCAGUCUGGAUCCGCACUCUUCACUCUGUCGAAACGGCUGUGACCAAAGUAUUCAACAAUUUAAUCGCUGCUAAAUCUCGCGGUCAUUAUUCUAUCCUAAAUCUCAUGGCUGCUUUUGAAAUUGUUGGUCAUCAACAGCUUCUUCUUAUCAUUCGUAAUCUCACUGUACGGGAUUAUGCUCUCUCCUGGUGCUCUUUCUAUCUCUGCCAGCGCUCUGUGUUUUUCUCUGGCUCUGCUUCUUCUCCCCAACCCCUCUCUGUUGGUGUUCCCCAAGGUUCUGUCCUUGGUCCCAUACUGUUCUUGAUCAUACUGCUUCAUGCAGAUAACACGCAAAUCUACCUGUCUUCUCCUGAUCUCUCUUCGUCCUUCUUGACUUGUCUCUAACUGCCUUUUCUGAGAUUUCCAACUGGAUGGCUGCUCACUUCCUUAAACUCAACCUGUCCAAAACAGAACUUCUGGUCUUUCUUCCACUUCCUCACUUCUUCUGGAAAGCAUAUCAAUGAAACAGCUUUUCAUCCCUGCACCCUGAUUCAUCUCCAGCAACUGUCAAACAUAACCUACUUAGCCCUCAGUAAAUACUUUUCUAGCAACCUACUUCUCUACCCUACAUUUAUCUUUUUGUAUCUUACAAUAUUUGGGGGUCUUACAAUUUUGCACUGCUCAAAAAAAACAAAAAACUAAUGGAAAUUUAAUGUGCUCAAGUCCGGCUUACCCACACAGAUAUCGUAGAAUUUUAGAUUGGCACCAUAACCACUACAGCCAGUUGCAGUUUUUAUAAUGACUUCCCUAUCUCCGUCCCAUUGCUAAAAAAUAAUAGUGGAUGGAAUACAUUGGCCCUCCUGUCUGCAGACACUCUUUGGCAAAAAUAGCUUUUGCUAAAGUUGGGUAAGGUAUUUUGGGUCUAGUUAAUAUCCCAUCCCUUCAUUGUAAGAUACUUGUCCUUAUUUACCAACUAUAAUACACACAAACAAAAACACAAUUUACAAUAGAUCAAAAGUUUAAUGCGUUCCCUUUUACUGUGUGUUAUCCUUGAUUUUUGGAUGUUUGUUUUAACCUUUGCUUUUUCUGUAAAGCGCUGCCGAGUUUGUUGGCGCUAUAUAAAUAGAAAUUUAGCGCAUCAUCUAGGAAGCGGCUCCAAUAUAUACAUUUUAAAUGUCUUUAUGAACACAAUUCUCUGAGUUGUUUGAAGCCUGCAGUUGUGUAAGUGAAAUAAUUAUAGCAUUUGGUCAUUUUAAUGGGAGUUUAACCGUCUUAAUAAACUGUUUUGCAGAGCCCUGACUUUGCAGCUCCCUUUAGCACUUAAAGCUAAAUGGAAUUCACGUUGUUCUGGAAGCCUGCAGUAUCUCCUCCUAACAGCUGUCUGUAGCUUGCUGGAGCAGUAAAUUACUUUGCAGUAGCACUUCAAUUUAACCUUGAUUUUUCUGUUUUGCUUUUGUUUAUUGUUUUUGGUCUUUCAAUCUGGAGUUUAUAAACUGAUAUCCAGUCUAUUACUGAAAUAAAUGCCUAUCAACCCAAAUAUUGAUAUUUUGUGUAAGUUGGGUUUUCUAGUCAUUGCAUGUCUAGUCCCCAAGAGGCAGGGGUUCCCGAUUACAUUUGGCAUAGUGGACCAACAUUGUUGAACCCUAAAUAAUUUCUUUGUGUCGUAGCACAAAUCUUUUAAAGAGCAGAGUGUAAUAUUUUAGUUUUUUGGCAAAUUAUUUUUACAUCUGCUUUAACUAGAAGCAAAAUAAUUUUAUUUUGAAUAGCAUGAUUUCUAAUGAAGUUUCAAAAACAAACAAAACCCAACCCACGUAAAUUGGGGCAAAAGUGUGAUCUACAAAUAUUUUCAGCAGCGCACUUUUUUUUUUUUUUUUUUUUUACCAACACAAUCUGACUCUAAGAAUAAUAAAAACUAUCCUCAGAUACCACAUUGGUUGCUAAUAUAAAGAGGAGCACAAAAAAACGAUAAUAAUUUUCCUAACAUUGGGCACAAUACUGACUGAAGAAUAGCUGAGCCUCAAAGAAUAAAGAUGUUUAAUGCGUGCGACCGUGCUCUAUCAAUGCUCACAACUGAGUGAGUCUGAAAUGGCCAAUGGUGGGAAUAAGAUCUCUGCUGUGUCUGACUUCCAGUACAAUGCGGCAGCCAUGUUGGAUGUGACGAAAUCACGGCAGAAACUAAUUUAUUUUUUUCUUGUGGAACCCCUGGGUUCUGCAGAACACAAACUGUGAAGCUCUGCCAUAGGGUAUUGCCUGUAAAUGUAUUUACCACUCCUCUGUAAUUGGCAUGUAGGUGUGCAAUACUGAACUGUGUAUGUAAUCUUCUUACAGAUGGAUUGUAACACGUUUUUAGUCUUAUCUUGUGAACUUAAAGGAACACUUUGGGCAACAUAAAUAUUUAAUCUCAAAGAAAAUAAAAGUAAUCAUGGUGCCCGGAGGUCCUGGGUGCCUUCUUAAGGUGCCAAGCCAUCUGAACUUUGUAGAAACCAUGUAGAGUAAAGUUUAUAGCUGUUACAAUGCAUAAGGAAGGAGUCAUGAUAGGAGUAUUAGAUUGGGUCCCAUGCAUUAUUUAAAGAAAUAUAGCUUAGAAUAUUUUGAGCAGACUGUUGGCUUGACAGAUAACAAAGCAAUGCCCAAAGUCCUGUUUGCGCAAUAUGAGAGCCAUACAACUUCACUGUCACUAAGUCGCAGGCAGAUAAGGCAUCUGAGUGAGACUCUGAGGGACCAAGGAGUGUUGAGAGCUAGUUAAUAGAGCAGAUAGAAGGCCAGGGAGUCCGUGACUAAUGAAAGUAUUUACAAAAAUUGGGCAGGCCUAGAUAGGCCAAAUGGUUCUUAUCUGCCGUCACAUUCUAUGUCUCUAUGGUAUGGUAAUCCCUGACACAAGGUUUUUGUGUCUUAGACUGUAUGGCCAACAUGAAGCAGGCGUAUAUAUUUACUAACCUGCACAUUGUACUUGCUUGUCCUCUCAAGAAUAAUGCAGUCUGCAUCAUACAAAGGACUGGCUUCAUCACAGCAAAGAUCAAAUGUGUGGCAGCAAAUAAAAUAGCACUGUUCACCCCCUAACAGUUUUGUCUAAUUUAAUGUAUAAGCAGGGGUAAGUAACUUUCGGCACUCCAGAUGUUGUGGACUACAUAUCCCCCAUAAUGCUGCUCUUGCACCCAUAAUGCUGGCAAAGCAUCAUUGGGACUGUAGUCCAAAAGAGCUGGAGUGCCGAAGGUUGCCUAUGCAUGGUAAAGAGGAAAUUGAUAAGAUAUUAUAGAGGAACUGUUAUUUCUGAUAUUUUUGCACUGACCAAUAAAGUUGGUUGUAGACUGGCUUCAUAUACAUGUUAAUCAGUUGGUAUUUUAUGAUAUGUAAAAGUACAUGCAUGAAUGGGAUCAUGGGAAGCAUGUAAAGCAUGCAUGAAAUUAUUGGAAGAUGUUGCUCUACAGCAGGGAUAGGCAACCUGCGGCACUCCAGAUGUUGUGGACUAAAUCCCCCAUAAUGCUCUUACACCCAUAAUGCUGGAAAAGCAUCAUGUUGGGUGUAGUCCAAAACAUCUGGAGUGCCAAAGGUUGCCUAUGCCUGCUCUACAGGUUUCUCCAAACUCUGGAGCUCCAGAUGUUUCUGAACUACAACUCCCAUGAUCUCAUGACUAUCUCCUUUCAUUCAAAGAAGAAUCAUGGGAGUUGUAGUUCAGCAUCUGGAGGCCAGAGUUUUUGGAGAACCCUGCGUUUAACACAUAGUCUGGCACUACAGGAAGAUCUUUCCAUUACUCAAAAGUCCUGCAGGGGAAAGUGUGUUUUUUAAAAAAUUUUUUUUUUUUUUUUUAUACUUAUGUCUGCGCAAACCUCUCCCCAAUUAACACUUUAAUAACGUUUACUGGGGUUAGUGAAAACUGAAUUGUCAACUCAAAGGUAACUUUUGAUCUAUAGAACAGGAGUUGCUUUAAACAACAAUAUCCUUUAGAGCAAAGUUACUUUGUUUUCUUUCUGAGAUUUUUGCAGUUUGCGGUCCCCUCCAACACCCCUCUGUUUAUGUAGUUCCGGUAUCUCUAAUUUCUUAUCGUGUGUUCUACGAAAGAAGUCUAGUAAGGAUAACAUGUAUUUCUAUUUUUCGCAAUGCUUCCAAAGUACGCUACGAAUACAGUCUUUAUUAACAAGUCCAUUGCUUGUAGCUUUUCUAUUAGAGCCUGCCUGGGGAUUUGCAUGCUCCAGUGAUGUUGUAAGCUCUAGAUGUUCCAACGUCCUUGAUCUGUGAAACCAUUAACAAUUUUAUUCAUGAGUCUAUAGGGAUUAAUUUAGUUUUGUGCUAAAGUAGGGAUUGCAGAAAUCUGUCAGAUGGCACACAAUCUAAGCAGAACUAGAUUCUCGUUGUGUACAUCAUUUAUUUUAUAGUAUGUCUUGGUACAGUAAUUCCAGAGCAUUUGAUAUUAAUUGUAUGUACGGCUGAAUACUGGAGAAUGCUAAAUAUGAGAUCAUGUUUGUUCAUGCCCAUAUUCACAUACAUAAGCUAUCUCCUUAACUAGGAACACAAUUUCCAUGCACAGAAAUAAACAUUUGUGCCUAGCAGAAGUGCAUAAAGUUGAUUUACUUUUGGGCAGAUUGACUGAUUUAUUUACUUAAAUGACAACUGUCAUCAAAUUUUUACUUCUUUUUCCAAACGUAUAUUAGUUUCCAUAAAAUGCUAUGUUAAUUAAAGUGUGUGUGUAUGUAUAUAUUAUUUUUUUUAUUUGGCUGAGCAGCCAUGUUUGGUCAGACUCUAUUGUAAUCUGUCCAACUGCUCAUCAACCAAACAUUACUGUUGCUGCGGUGUCACUCGGAGCUCAAAGAGAAAUCACAGCAGUAGGAAAGUUAGGUUGAUGAACAGUUGGUCAGAUAACAGUAGAGUCUGAUCCAACUUGGCUGCUCAGUUAGAUUUAAAAAGUGGUAUUUUCUCCAAAAAACAAACAAAACUCAGACAUAAUUUAAAAACAAACAACCUGAACAUUUGAUGAUAGUUGUCCUUUAACUCCCAAUUGCAAAGGUUUGACUAAAAUAGCCAAACUGUGAUUAAAGUAGCACAGUAGUCACUAUAUAAAUAUCUCUUUGAAUUGGUUAUAGUGCCUGGAGUACCCCGGCAUUAAACCUCCAUUCAAGGCUAAUCCCUUUUAGAACAGUUUAUCACUAAAUAAGGGUUGCUGGCCACACACAGUCCGGCCUCUUCUGGAGGUGUGGCUAAGGCAGAGAUUACACUCUUCCUGGUAAUCAUAGUGUCAAUGAGAGUUCUGAUAGGCUAAAAGCAAUCAGCUGACACUCUCAGCCAAUCACAGCUACCAGCUGCUGCUCAGGCUAAUAUUUCCUCAUUUGCCAAAGCAGCAUAGAGGGGAUACACUGCUGGGGACUCUCGGGUUUAGUAUUAAAACAUUUUAAAACUGUUUAAUGCUGAAUGAAAUUAUGGAAACCGGGUACUCUAGACACUAUUACCAAAGUAGUUAAAUGAAGCAGAUAUUGUGCCUACAUUGUCUCUUUAGCUGAUUUAGAGAAUUUUUCCAUAUCUGCUAAAUUUGCCUACAUUUUGCCAUCUGGGCUUCUGUUCAUUAAAAUAUGCCACUGGCGAGUGAAUGUUUUGCCCUGUCCGAUAGAAAGCCACCUGUGGUGAGUGUUCCAUGUAACCUCCAGAUUUGCUGUGGCAAGUAACUUUUUAAAGCCUAGCUAGUCACAUAGGACUUGAAAUUAGAAGCCCUGCCAUGCGUGUCGGCUUCUAAGCAGUAGUAGUCUAGAUAAAGGACUAAGUAUCAUCGUAUUAAAGGGAAACUGUCACCAUUUACCUGAGCCUUCGCUUCCCCAUCCCAAUCUCAUUACAGAGGUGGGUAUUACACUUCUGUAACACCCGCCACCGGUCCGCUGGCGCUCCUCCCAGUCUCUUUACUGAUUUGCCCUGCUUACGGACACUCCUCCAAGCAGGGCAAAUCUCCUCCUUCAUGACACACGGUGGCUUUAUUUUAACCCCUUAAGGACACAUGACAUGUCUGACAUGUCAUGAUUCCCUUUUAUUCGCUGGCUUCAUUGCCGGUAUCUGAACGAAGUGACAAUGUUACCAUAGCAACCACAGCAUCUGCAUUGUAGUUGCUAUGGGUGGAGACCAGUAGGACCACGUGUGGGAGGUUUUGUCUGCUCUCCUUUGUCAUUCAAUUCCUCGACAUAAUGAAAGAAUAGGUGGGAGAAGACCGGUAGGAUAAUUUUUAAUUUUUUUUUAAUAUAGUGUUUUCUCCCAAUCUAUAUUUGUUAGCAAAACUGCUAGUACAAUGUAUACAUGAAAUGUUGAUGCUCUUAAAAAGUGCGAAAGUAGUUUUGAGCAUAACCGGUGGCCUUUAAAGGGAUACUGUAAGCACCAAAAAAAUUCAUCUUAAUCUUUUGAUCUCAUUUUCUUCUUUCAAUGUAAAAUAUUGCUGUUUCUGAGAAACAGCAGGUUUAUCCAUUUUAUUUUUUUCCUUACGCACACGUCUAGUGAUUUGUUUUACUGGUUGCCACUAAAGCCUGCUUCCUUACUGUAGAUCGCACUUUUGUUUUUUGACACUCUUUUUAUAUUUGAUAUCCUCGCACCCAGAAUGAUGACACCAAAGGUUCCUCUUAGGACUUUGCAGGCAGCUCAUUGUGAGUAUUCCUGCAUUUCGGUAAACUAGCCCCUGGGAGCUGCAUGCAUGUUGUAGAUGUGUGGGGUGAACAUUUUUUGCCAUGGAGGUGGGCACCAUUGAAUGGCAAAACGUCACUUUGCUCGUUGCUUGUGAAUGCACAUUGUCAGCAGUGCUACUUUAUGGGAAACAUUGGAUUCAAUACUUCUCAUUGCAAACCAAAAAACUGUGUGUAUUUAUUGUUCUUUGUUUCUAGUAAAUGUCUAUUAUUGAUUAUUGGUACAUAAAAUGUACGUUCUUUGGAAUGUGAUGUCACACUAUUUUUUAUUAUUCCAUUCACUGGAGACAGUGACGUGAGUUGUCCUGCUAUCUUUUGUUCCUAGUGCCAUUGAUUGCUGUGUAAUUUGUGGAAGCAGAAGAGGAAACUAGUACAAGUUUUCAAGGUAAGUGAUCUUGGCAGGUUAUUUCGAUACAUUUGUGAAUUUAUAUAAUUUGAUACAUUUUCCACCGUAAACCUCUCAGAAUGUAUUUACCUCUUUCCCCAUUUGCCAACUAACUACGUUAGAGGAAUGAACAGCAUUUAUUGGUCCACCUUAUAUAGGACCUGCACAAGCUAAAGGCUAAUUCUCUGAAAGAAAAUGUAGUGGUAAGUACAAAAAUACAUUGAAUGCACACCCUGAUCUGGUGGAUUUUGGAUGUACCUUCCUGCCUCUGAUUAGGGCACUACGUCCUGUACAAAGGGAAUUGCCUGGAAAAAAGAUUAAUCUGAGAUAUGAAUAUAGAAAAUACUCAACGUUCUGUAGUCAUUCAUCUAAAUCCAUUUUCUUCCGGAUUUCCUGUUCAUGCUGUGAUUAGUAAGCCAGCCCCAGAAACAAAUGAUGUGCAGUAUAAAUUUUAACAUGGAAAUUCAACCCCCCAUAUCCCCCCCCAAAAAAAAUAAAAUUGUGCAAACGUUGUUUAGAUUUCAGGAACAUACUCUGGAUAAAUGGUUAAAGGAACACAUUAUCGUUAGGAAUACAUAUAUGUAUUCCAAACGCUUUGGUACCCUAGUCACUAUUUAGUUAACUUACCCUUUACCAUAUGCAGUGCCCGUCUUCUCGGGGAAGUUCUGCCUCUUUGGUUGAGAUCAUCGAGUUUGACAAUCUCAACCAAUUCAAUGCUUUCCAGUAGGAAAGCAUUAGGAGGUUAGUGCACAUACAGGGCAAUAGUGUUCCUUUAAUGGGACAGACUAAAUAAAUAAGGACUGAAUUAACCCCCUUAAGGGGACACAACGGAAAUAUACCGUCAUGAUUCCCUUUUAUUCCAGAAGUUGUGUCCUUAAGGGGUUAAGGACUUGCGAUUGAUCAGUGUUAGUAUUGACAUCUUCUACCACUAUUGAUGCAGAAAGUUUCAUCCGUAGCCAGUCAUGACAUUAAAGGAUUUUAUAAUCCUAAGGAUAUAGAUAUAUGGUUCAGUUGGUUUCAACUACAAACUGUAGAACUGGAGAAAUCAAUACAUUUAAUCAGCACCACCUAUUACAUAGCCUGCAUUAUUUUAUGGGCUAUGGUGUGUACACAAGCUGAAACAGAACCUUCUUUGAUUUUUGAAGAAUUGUUUUGAUGGGAACAGGAAUUUAAAUUGCCACUUCCAGAAAGAUCGACUGCCCUUAAGAAUCUUGAUUUGUGGAGCGUUUUUGUUUUCUUUAGGAGACUGGGAUUUAAAGGGAUCCUAUAGUGCAACGAAAACAAAGCACUAAAUAUUUCUAAGGUUCCCCCCUCCCUUGCGCCUCCUUCGUGCGGUAUUGAAGGGGGUUAAAACCCCUUCAGUGACUUACCUGAAUUUAGCGCCGUUGUCCCUCGGUGCUGGAUCAGGCUCCACUUAUGCCCCUGCCGGCGGGGGAGACCUAUUGUGCAUGAGCUCACUUUAGGAUUUCCCCAUAGGAAAGCAUUAAUCAAUGCUUUCCUAUGGGGGAAAAAAUCUGGCGCUGGAGGUCCUCAUGCAGAACGUGAGGACAUUCAUUGUCCGAUAAUGGAACAAAGGUUCGUUUCGAUUCAAAGCCCUCUAGUGGCUGUAAGGUAAACAGCACCUGUGGGCAGAAUUCGAGCUGCAAUGUAAACAUUGCAGUUCUCUGGAACUACAAUGUUUUACAUUGCAGCACUGUCAGGAUACUGACAGGGAUCCAAUACGCAGAGUGCGGACAGAAGGAGGUACGUAUACCGGACCUUAGAAUGGCCGGACUAACGUAGGGACAAAACAAGAAUAGUCAAAAGGUAAGCCGAGGUCGAGGGAGCCGGAGGACAGGUAAGCGAGAUACAAGCAGAGUCAAAGGAGAGGAGAGGACAACAGGACAAAAGACAAGCAAGGUCAAAACCGAAAACACAAGAGAGAGAACGCGCUGAGUGACUAGCAAGCUAGAACCACGACAGGGCAAUGAGCAGUAGUAAAGGUUUCCUUUAAAUACCCUGUCACCUUAAUUGAGACCACGCCCCCAAAAGGUCCGGAAUAGCGGUUCCCGGCACUUCACGUAAUGCUGACGUCAUGACGUCGACGCUAGCCGUCGCGUCAUAAAAGGGGGAGGAGCUAGCGCGGCCGGCGCGAAAACGGCCGGAAUUUGCCGAAAUGCUAGGGGCAAGGAGCCCCUAAACAGAGAGGAUGUCUUCCCUGGAGUCAGCACCAACAGGUACCCUGACAGUACCCCCCCUUCUAGAAACGCCCACCGGGCGGAUGGGACCGGGCUUAGAAGGAAAACGAACGUGGAAGGCCCGAAGAAGGCGAGGAGCAUGCACGUCUACACAAGGAACCCAAGACCUCUCUUCUGGACCAUAACCUUUCCAGUCUAUGAGGUAUUGCAACUUCCCCCUAGAAAUACGAGAAUCAAGGAUGGACCUAAUGAUAUAUUCUUCCUGACCAUCCACACGGACCGAGGAUGGAGGAGCAGAGCGGGAGGAAAAUUUGUUACAAACAAGAGGUUUCAAUAAAGACACAUGAAAAGAGUUAGGGAUGCGUAGAGUAGGGGGCAGGUCCAGCAAAUAAGAAACCGGGUUGAUCCUCCUCAGCACCCUGUAAGGGCCUAUGUAACGAGGAGCAAACUUCAAAGAGGAGACUUUCAGGCGAAUGUGUCUGGUACUCAACCAGACCCUAUCACCAGGAGAAAAAAUAGGAGCAGGCCGUCUACGUCUAUCAGCAUGCAACUUAAACACUGCGGAACUACGUGUAAGAAUUUGUCGAGUCUGAUCCCACAACUUUCUCAGGUUGGCUAUAUGAAUAUCAACCGACGGUACCCCCUGGGAAGGAGACACCGACGGAAGAACAGUAGGGUUAAAGCCAUAGUUCAAGAAAAAGGGGCUAUUACGAGUGGAACCACAAAAAAGGUUGUUGUGAGCAAACUCCGCCCAAGGAAUCAGACCGACCCAGUCAUCCUGGUGUUCAGAAACAAAACAACGUAGAUAUUGCUCAAUUUUUUGGUUAGUGCGUUCGGCUGCUCCGUUAGAUUGGGGAUGAUAGGCCGAAGAAAAAUUCAGUUUGAUGCCCAACUGGGAACAGAAGGAUCUCCAAAAACGGGAAAUAAACUGGGAACCCCUGUCCGACACAAUCUCAUUGGGAAUACCAUGCAAACGGAAAAUUUCUCUAGCAAAUAUCACGGCCAGUUCAGGAGAGGACGGAAGUUUAGGCAAGGAAAGGAAAUGAGCCAUUUUAGUAAACCUGUCAAGGACCGUGAGGAUAACCGUGUGCCUACUGGAAACCGGCAGAUCAACAAUAAAAUCCAUAGCCAAACAAGCCCAAGGUUUGUUGGGAACGACUAAGGGCUGCAAUAAACCACAAGGGAGAUCCCGUGGUAGUUUAUUCCUGACACAAACAUCGCAAGCUUUGACAAAGUCUUCCACAUCCCUACGUAAACUAGGCCACCAGAAGUCUUUGGAGAUCAGGCAGUAAGUUUUGUGUAUGCCGGGGUGACCAGCGAACUUGCUAUCGUGAAAACAGUGAAUAAUGUCCACUUGGAAUUUGGGAGACACGAACAAGCGGCCCACAGGAGUACGCUCGGGAGCAAGAGAUUGUUCGUUCAUUAUAUCUAAGAGCAAUGGAGAGUGUAUUUUGACAUUGGUGUUGGCGAUAAUAUUGACUUCAGGAAUAAUAGGGAACAAAGUGUCUUCUGAAGAGGCGAUAGGUUCAUGCUGACGAGACAAUGCGUCUGCCUUAGUGUUCUUAGAACCAGGCCUGUAAGUAAGUAUAUAAUUAAAGUGUGUAAGGAACAUAGACCAACGUGCUUGCCUGGCAGAUAAUCUUUUGGCCUCCCCCAUAUAAGAUAAAUUUUUGUGAUCAGUCAAGAUAGUAACUGGGAGAACAGUGCCCUCUAACAGAUGUCUCCAUUCAUUUAAUGCCAUAAUGAUAGCUAAGAGUUCUCUAUCACCAAUGUCAUAUCUUCUUUCAGUGUGUGAUAGUUUCUUGGAAAAAAAACCGCAAGGGUGCAGCGGCUUAUCUAAACUUUGUCUUUGGGACAACACUGCGCCUAUCCCUGUUUCAGACGCAUCAACUUCAAGUAAAAAGGGUAGAGAGGUAUCAGGAUGAACUAAUACAGGUGCUGAGGCAAAAGACUGUUUGAGCGUUUCGAAAGCAGAUAAAGCCUCAGUAGACCAGAUUUUGGUAUCGGCUCCUUGUUUGGUCAUAUUAGUGAUAGGAGCGAUAACAGAGGAGUACCCUUUAAUAAAACGUCUGUAAUAAUUAGAAAAUCCAAGAAAUCUUUGUAUGGCUUUGAGUCCCUUAGGUAAAGGCCAAUCUAAAAUCGAUUUUAGUUUGGUCGGGUCCAUCAUAAACCCCUCUUUGGAAAUUACGUAACCUAAGAAAGUUACCUGAGACUGAUCAAAGCUACAUUUUUCCAAUUUACAAUACAAUCCAUGUUGUAAAAGUUUCUGCAAUACCUUUCUGACUUGUCUAUGAUGUGAGUUAAUGUCUCUAGAAUGUAUUAGUAUAUCAUCCAAAUAUACAAUCACACAUUCAUGUUGGAAUUCUCUAAGAACUUAAUUGAUCAAGUCUUGGAAGACGGCCGGGGCAUUACAAAGCCCAAACGGCAUUACGGUAUACUCAUAAUGCCCGUAACGGGUAUUAAAUGCUGUCAUCCAUUCAUCUCCUUGUUUAAUUCGCACCAAGUUAUACGCUCCUCUCAAGUCAAGUUUGGUAAAAAUACUCGAGCCCUUUAGUCUGUCAAAGAGUUCAGUAAUCAAAGGAAUAGGGUAAGCAUUCCUGAUAGUAAUUUUGUUCAAUCCCUGAUAGUCUAUACAAGGACGUAAGGUACCGUCUUUCUUUUCCACAAAAAAGAAACCCGCCCCCGCCGGAGAAGAAGACUUUCUAAUAAAUCCUUUGUCUAAAUUCUCCUUGAUGUAUUCCUCUAAAACUAAAUUUUCCUUGGUGGAUAAAGGGUACACCGUACCCCUAGGAGGCAUAGUACCAGGGAAAAGUUUAAUAGAACAGUCAUAAGACCGGUGGGGAGGUAAAGUAUCCGCCUUACCCUUGUCAAAUACAGAUUUGAGGUCUAGAUAUUGUAAUGGUAUCUGAACGUCUGUGGAUUGGGAAGAGUUAGUAUGAGAGUUUACGGGGCAAACAGAAGUAACUCUCUGCAGACAUUCUUUCCUACAAUCAAUACCCCAAGAAACGAUUUCUCCACCCUCCCAGUCAAUCUGAGGGUUAUGUCUCUUGAGCCAAGAAUAUCCUAGUACCACUGGGACUGCCGGGGAGGAAAUUAACAGAAGGGAAAUCAACUCCUCGUGGAAGAUACCAACAGUAAGCUUAACGGGUUUGGUCUCAUGGAAUAUUACUGGUUCCGAUAAAGGUCUACCAUCUAUGGCCUCAACGGCCAAGGGUGUAUCUCUCAGUUGGAAUGGGAUACAAUGCUUAUUAGCGAAGGUUUGGUCUAUAAAGCUUUCUGCUGCUCCAGAAUCUAACAAUGCCAUCGUAGAAAUAAACCCAUUUUCCCAAGCUAGAGAGACAGGAAUCAGAAGCCUAUGGUCUUUUUUAUUAUGUAUAGAGGACAGUAACGAAACACCCAAGGCCCGUCCUCUAAGGGAACUUAGGUGCGAGCGUUUCCCGGGCGAUUAGGGCAACUAAGACGUAGGUGACCUCUCCGCCCGCAGUAUAAACAGAGACCCUCCCUUCUUCUGUACUGUCUCUCAGCCUCAGAUAAGCGAGUAUUACCUAUUUGCAUAGGUUCUGGUGGAGUAGGAUUAAAGGAGUCAGGGUUCUGAAAUGAGGGAGCAAGUCUUACAGGAAGUCUAGUAACUCUUUCCCGAGUGUUCUGCCUCUGUCUCAUGCGUUCAUCUAUUCUGGAAAUGAAAGAUACUAAAUCCUCUAAAUUUUCCGGAAGUUCUCUUGUGGCAAUCUCAUCUAGAAUUUCAUCAGACAACCCAUUCAAAAAUACAUCCAUAAAAGCUUGUUCGUUCCAUUUCACUUCUGCUGCCAAUGAUCUAAACUCUAAUGCAUAUUCUACAAGGGUCCUAUUCUGUUGUUUAAGGCGUAACAGGGAUCUGGCUGCAUUAAUCUUCCUUCCUGGGGGGUCAAAAGUCCUUCUAAAUGCCGUGACAAAAGCAGUGUAGUUGUAGACUAGAGGAUUGUCAUUCUCCCAAAGGGGAUUGGCCCAUCUAAGUGCUUUAUCUAUUAGCAGAGUUAUAAUGAAGCCUACUUUAGCCCUGUCAGUAGGGUAAGCCCGGGGUUGAAGUUCAAAAUGUAUGCUUAUCUGGUUUAAAAAACCACGACAAGCAUCGGGUGAACCCCCAUAACGUAACGGUGAAGUGACAUGGGAAGAUGCGCCUACAGUGGCUACUUCCAAACCAGUACUUAGUGGGAGGCUAGCAGUGGAACGUACUUCUUCUGACUGGGUGCUGGAACGUGUUAGCAAAGUUUGUAAUGCUAAAGCCAUUUGGUCCAUUCUAUGGUCCAUGGCCUCAAAUCUGGGGUCAGGAGGACUAGCACCUGCAGGAUCCAUUUGGCCCUGUCGUAAUGUCAGGAUACUGACAGGGAUCCAAUACGCAGAGUGCGGACAGAAGGAGGUACGUAUACCGGACCUUAGAAUGGCCGGACUAACGUAUGGACAAAACAAGAAUAGUCAAAAGGUAAGCCGAGGUCGAGGGAGCCGGAGGACAGGUAAGCGAGAUACAAGCAGAGUCAAAGGAGAGGACAACAGGACAAAAGACAAGCAAGGUCAAAACCGAAAACACUAAGAGAGAGAACGCGCUGAGUGACUAGCAAGCUAGAUCCACGACAGGGCAAUGAGAAGUAGUAAAGGUUUCCUUUAAAUACCCUGUCACCUUAAUUGAGACCACGCCCCCAAAAGGUCCGGAAUAGCGGUUCCCGGCACUUCACGUAAUGCUGACGUCAUGACGUCGACGCUAGGCGGCGCGUCAUAAAAGGGGGAGGAGCUAGCGCGGCCGGCGCGAAAACGGACGGAAUUUGCCGAAAUGCUAGGGGCAAGGAGCCCCUAAACAGAGAGGAUGUCUUCCCUGGAGUCAGCACCAACAGGUACCCUGACAAGCACUAGGUGCAAAAGGGACAUUGCACCCAGACCAUUUCAAUGAGCUGAAGUCGUCUGGGUGCCUACAAUGUCCCUUUAAGUCUGCCUUGUGCACACUUUAGUUCCAUGAAAAUUUGUAUCCCAUUUUAAACAAUGGGAACUCCUAGGCCCCUUAAAUUUUCUGACGAUCUGUACAUUUUGAUAACAUUUAUCUAAAAUAGCUCCCACCGAGAUCCAUUUAAUAUUGAAACUUGCCAUAGUAAAGUAUUGUGCAAUGCUCCAUCAAUUAGUUAAUGGAAAAGAUUGCUGAAACACUGCUUUUCCACAGGACACGUCUGUAUUAUGUACUAUUGUUGAAGGCAGUUUGCUUUAUUUUUCCCACAGGAGACUGUUUUUUUAAUGCAAUUCUUUCCUAAUUUCAACCUCACUAGUUACUUAUACAGAUGCUUAGAAACCAUAUCAAUAUAUAUUUUUUUUUUUAUAAUUCUUAUUUGUCUGCAUAUUGGGUUUACCUGUCAGAGACAAUUUUGAAAAGUCACGUUAGAUUCUACACGGAUAUAUAAAUUAAAGUCAUUAUUUGUAUCUGACUGGCUAUCCUAUUGUGCAUCUGACUGUGCAAAAUAAUGCCCAGUUGAAGUAAUGGAAGUUAGACAUGUCACAGUUUUGUAUCAGGUUUUUAAAAAAAGCCCACCUCGAUCAGCCAUCUUCCGUACCUUACACACAAUAGUAACUGCAGUUAUGGAAAUAACUUUAGCUACGUUAUGCAUAUACCUCCUGUGCAAAUGAAGACUGAUGAGUACUUCUCACGAUAGCACCUUAUGCUUUCUAAGACAUUCUUUGUUAAAUGGACUCUUUAUUCACAAAACUCCUGCUUAAUGUAAUGUUUUUAGUGCGUAGUUGCUGUCUCAUAUGCCAGCAAGAAGUGUUCUGUGAAUUGCGACCAUGUGAGAAGCAUCUCCACAUCCCCGGGCAGAUUGUGGGACACAGAACAAUUUUUUUUUUCCUAGUUUGUUGCAAAAUUGGAAGUGUUUCAGACUGGGUUUUUGCCUUCUUUUGGAUCAACAGCAGAAACAUAUGUGAAGAAGGCUGAACUUGGACACAAGUCUCUUUUCAGAUAUUUAACUGUGCAUGACCUGGAGGCAUUUUGCCAAGACGAAUGGGCAGCUAUACCACCUGCAAGAAUCAGGGGCCUCAUAGACCACUAUUACAAAAGACUGCACGCUGUCAUUGAUGCUAAAGGGGGCAAUACACAGUAUUAAGAACUAAGGGUAUGCAGACUUUUGAACAGGGGUCACUUCAUUUUUUUUAUCUUUGUUGCCAUGUUCUGUUUUAUGAUUGUGCCAUUCUCUUAUAACCUACAGUUGAAUAUGAAUCCCAUAAAAAUAAAAGGUGUUGCCUGCUCACUCAUGUUUUCUUUAAAAAUGGUACAUAUAUUACCAAUUCUCCAAGGGUAUGCAAACUUUUGAGCACAACUGUAUGUAUGUGCUCACACACCGUAUAAAAUACACGUGCAUGUAUUCUUAAAUGAACACUAUAGAGUCAGGAGCACAAAUGUGUAUUCCUGACCCUAUAGUGUUAAAAACCCAUGUAGAGUCCCUAGCACCUCUCCCCCACUUUAAUAUGAAAACAUACCUUGUUUCCAGUGCCGGCGCAGUUCCACUGGUGCUGGCUGCGCCNNNNNNNNNNNNNNNNNNNNNNNNNNNNNNNNNNNNNNNNNNNNNNNNNNNNNNNNNNNNNNNNNNNNNNNNNNNNNNNNNNNNNNNNNNNNNNNNNNNNUAGCAGUGGUAAACAAUUUGAAGUGUUGUGAAACCCUAGUCCAGGUGUAGGCAACCUUGGACACUCCAGAUGUUGUGGACUACAUCUACCUUGAUAAUUUGCCAACAUUAUGGGUGGAAGAGCAAUAUGGGAGAUGUAGCCCACAACAUCUGGAGUGCCCAAAAUUGCAUAUCUCUGACCUUUUCCAUAAGAUAAUGGCUUGUUUUUCGUGUGUCAGUUUGAAUGCUAAUUAAUACAUAUAUAGCCAAAGGUGAUAUGCAAAUGGCAAAAUGUAGACACCUGACCAUCACACCAUGUUGGAGAAAAACCAUUCCAAUACCAUCCGCAUUGACAAUAUUAUAUCUGUGGAAAUGUGCGGCCAUUUAGUCAAGAUCAUUUGUGAGGUCAGGCACUGUUGGGGUUGAAGGUCUGGCUUGCAAUCUGUAUUCCAAUUCAUCGCAAAUGUUUGGUCAAUGGCAAGACACUGCGCAGGCAGUUCCUUCUGGACUGUUUGAAGAGAUAUGAAUUUAAAAAAUAAAUUUUAUUUUUCAUUUCAGGGUUUAGAGUAGAACGAUUUAUCAGUUUAAAUACAUGUAUAAACCAUAUAAUUAUUCCACUGAUUACGUCAUUGGAAACUGAAUGAAUGUUGGUAGGUAGCAUUUGAAAGCUGCAAUUGGUAUCUUCUAUCAGAUGUAAAAUAUUUUGUGAUUCUUUUGAUCUUUUAUUUAAAGCAGCAUAUAAUGUCCCUAUCUAUUAAGUAAUCCUAAGCAGAUGUUCUGCAUAUCGUGUGCCUAUCUAUUAACCAGCCCUUUGCCAGUGGACGGCAUAAGAUGUGCCUAUUAACCAGUGCCAUGAUAUUGGAUAAUAUAUAUCAUAAUUUUAUGGACACGGAUAUUUAAACGGUCUCCGUAUAUUUUGGCAGAUUCUUCGUUUCAGCGCUCCUGCACAUAAUCCUUUCAAGUUACCUUUUUAGGCUGCCAGUCUUAUUGUUUGCAGGUAUCCCGCUGGGAGUCUUGUACAGUAUAUUAUACUAACUGGUCACAUUUAUAGAGGUUGUUUUUUUGUUUUGUUUUUGUUUUUUUUAAUGUUCUUUCCUAUUUAUUGCUAUUGUCUAUUUUCUUUUUUUUUUUUUUUUUUUUCUUUUUUUUUUUCUUUUUUAAAUUAAAGAUAAUUUUUACCCUAAUUUAGAUCUCACUUGCCAUUGCAAUUAUUAACAUUCUCCUUUCCUGGAUUGAAAAAGGAACCGAAGAAUGCAUUUUCAACUUUUUUAUUUUAUUUUUUUAAAUCAGUAGGUUUUAUUUUCUUGCUCUCUGAAGGAUUUGUUCUGUGUAAUGCAAUAGGUAUAAUCAUGCUGUACCCAGACCGCUUAGUUAUUAUUAUUUAAAGUAAUACAGUUUGGGCAGCUUGCCAACAUGCUUAGUACAUUUAUCUCUAUGGUCUGAUAAAGGCUGUAUUUUAUCAGAUAAAUGGUCAUUUCCAUUUAUUUCCUUAGUAUUAAAUGUACUGUGCUUUGGGGUGUUUGUCAUUUUGCAUUUGACUGAGAGAGGAAGGCUAAUGGAACUAAUUGAUAUUUUGUAUCAACCCACCCACACCAGCCAUACAGGAAUACACAUUUAAUUAUGUGUAUUAGUGAUGCUCAACUACCCCCCCCCCCNNNNNNNNNNNNNNNNNNNNNNNNNNNNNNNNNNNNNNNNNNNNNNNNNNNNNNNNNNNNNNNNNNNNNNNNNNNNNNNNNNNNNNNNNNNNNNNNNNNNGCAAAAGGGACAUUGCACCCAGACCAUUUCAAUGAGCUGAAGUCGUCUGGGUGCCUACAAUGUCCCUUUAAGUCUGCCUUGUGCACACUUUAGUUCCAUGAAAAUUUGUAUCCCAUUUUAAACAAUGGGAACUCCUAGGCCCCUUAAAUUUUCUGACGAUCUGUACAUUUUGAUAACAUUUAUCUAAAAUAGCUCCCACCGAGAUCCAUUUAAUAUUGAAACUUGCCAUAGUAAAGUAUUGUGCAAUGCUCCAUCAAUUAGUUAAUGGAAAAGAUUGCUGAAACACUGCUUUUCCACAGGACACGUCUGUAUUAUGUACUAUUGUUGAAGGCAGUUUGCUUUAUUUUUCCCACAGGAGACUGUUUUUUUAAUGCAAUUCUUUCCUAAUUUCAACCUCACUAGUUACUUAUACAGAUGCUUAGAAACCAUAUCAAUAUAUAUUUUUUUUUUUAUAAUUCUUAUUUGUCUGCAUAUUGGGUUUACCUGUCAGAGACAAUUUUGAAAAGUCACGUUAGAUUCUACACGGAUAUAUAAAUUAAAGUCAUUAUUUGUAUCUGACUGGCUAUCCUAUUGUGCAUCUGACUGUGCAAAAUAAUGCCCAGUUGAAGUAAUGGAAGUUAGACAUGUCACAGUUUUGUAUCAGGUUUUUAAAAAAAGCCCACCUCGAUCAGCCAUCUUCCGUACCUUACACACAAUAGUAACUGCAGUUAUGAAAAUAACUUUAGCUACAUUAUGCAUAUACCUCCUGUGCAAAUGAAGACUGAUGAGUACUUCUCACGAUAGCACCUUAUGCUUUCUAAGACAUUCUUUGUUAAAUGGACUCUUUAUUCACAAAACUCCAGCUUAAUGUAAUGUUUUUAGUGCGUAGUUGCUGUCUCAUAUGCCAGCAAGAAGUGUUCUGUGAAUUGCGACCAUGUGAGAAGCAUCUCCACAUCCCCGGGCAGAUUGUGGGACACAGAACAAUUUUUUUUCCUAGUUUGUUGCAAAAUUGGAAGUGUUUCAGACUGGGUUUUUGCCUUCUUGUGGAUCAACAGCAGAAACAUAUGUGAAGAAGGCUGAACUUGGACGCAAGUCUCUUUUCAGAUAUUUAACUGUGCAUGACCUGGAGGCAUUUUGCCAAGACGAAUGGGCAGCUAUACCACCUGCAAGAAUCAGGGGCCUCAUAGACCACUAUUACAAAAGACUGCACGCUGUCAUUGAUGCUAAAGGGGGCAAUACACAGUAUUAAGAACUAAGGGUAUGCAGACUUUUGAACAGGGGUCACUUCAUUUUUUUUAUCUUUGUUGCCAUGUUCUGUUUUAUGAUUGUGCCAUUCUCUUAUAACCUACAGUUGAAUAUGAAUCCCAUAAAAAUAAAAGGUGUUGCCUGCUCACUCAUGUUUUCUUUAAAAAUGGUACAUAUAUUACCAAUUCUCCAAGGGUAUGCAAACUUUUGAGCACAACUGUAUGUAUGUGCUCACACACCGUAUAAAAUACACGUGCAUGUAUUCUUAAAUGAACACUAUAGAGUCAGGAUCACAAAUGUGUAUUCCUGACCCUAUAGUGUUAAAAACCCAUGUAGAGUCCCUAGCACCUCUCCCCCACUUUAAUAUGAAAACAUACCUUGUUUCCAGUGCCGGCGCAGUUCCACUGCCUCCUUGGAUGACACCAGAAUUUAUGAUCUCCUCCAAUAACAAUGCUUUCCCAUAGGAAAGCAUUAGAUUGGUUAAGAUUGUCGGUUCUGAUUAUCUCAGCCAAAGAGGCGGCUGGGGGUGAAGCCAAACGGUGCCUUAGCCAAUAAGCAUCUACUUAUAGAGAUGCAUUGAAUCAAUACAUCUCUGUGGGAAAAGUUCAAUGUAACAGAUUCCCUAUACUCUGAGUAUUUCCGUUCAGAGGUUCUCCCUCUACCUGCAGAGUGAAAGUGUUCAUAGCUCCCACCCAAACAUCAGCCUAGACUUGAUGAAGAUUGAAAAGUAUUGUCUUAAUUGAGAAAAGUACAGUAACCCUGCUCAGAGGCCUCUGUAUCUGGAAGAGAAUUGUGACCUACAUUGCUUAAUUUAGUUAACUCCCAGCACACAACCCCAAAAUACAGUGUAAAAACAUUAAGAACCCCCAGACAUAUGAUAUCCCCAGUAAGCUGGUCUUCCAAUCUUGGAGAAUGCCUGCUAAGUGCAACGCGUGUAGACGCUGAACGGCAUGAAUCACCUCUAAACUGUCUACAGCAAAAAGCCUGCAUGAACGGAACAAAUACAGCCCCCCUCCUACACAGCCCAUGCCACUGGACCACCAGGGAAUGAGAGCCCCCCUCCCUGGCCAGCUAACAAGCAGGGAGGGGGGAUGAAAAAAUAUAAAUAAAAAUUUAAAUAAUAAAAUAAUAUAAAAAAAUUUUUUUUAUAUUAAAAUAAUUAUUAAAAAAAAAUUAUAAAAAUGCCUACCCCCCACCAAGGCUCUGCAUCACAUGCACACACACACACACACACACACACACACACUGCAUUCAUACACACACACACACACUGCAUUCAUGCAUACACACUGUAAAUAUUCAAUUAAUAUAAUUUUUGGGGGAUCUAAUUUUAUUUAGAAAUUUACCAGUAGCUGCUGCAUUUCCCACCCUAGGCUUAUACUUAAGUCAAUAAUUUUUUCGGGGUAAAAUUAGGGGUCUCGACUUAUUCGGGUCGACUUAUACUCGAGUAUAUACUGUGUGUGUGUGUGUGUAUAUGUAUGUGUAUUUGUAUGUAUGUAUAUGUAUAUAUAUAUAUAUGUAUAUAUAUAUAUAUAUAUAUAUAUAUAUAUAUAUAUAUAUAUAUAUAUAUAUAUAUAUAUAUAUAUAUAUAUAUAUAUAUAUAUUUAUUUAUAUUGUCAGGCACUCUACCUUUGAAAAUUUGUUGAGAUGAACCUCGGUGCUGCAUAGCAUGGAUAAAUACGAGAUGUUGAAAAGAGCACUCCAGAGGAUUUGUUUAGACCUCUUGGGUCGAAACGUUGAUCAUUUUGAAUCACAUAUAAAGCUUAUUAAACAAAUCCUCUGGAGUGCUCUUUUCAACAUCGUGUGUGUGUGUGUGUGUAUAUGUGUGUGUGUGUGUGUGUGUAUAUAUAUAUAUCUGUCUCUGUCUCUAUCUCUGUCUCUGUCUUUUUUUUGUCUGAUAUGUGGUUGCUGUGACCACAUGCUGGUUUUAUCAGGACAUUUUCCAUACAUGAACUUCAGGGCUACAUUACACUCACAACUGCUCCCUGUGCUCCAAUUAAAGCCCUGAAGUUUGCAUUUUCUUUUAAUAAAACUUCCUGAUAAAAUCUGCUAUGUGGCCACUCUAGUAUCUAGACUAUUUAUAAAAAAAAAAUUAUUUUUUUUGCAUUGCAUUGCAUUCAGAGUUUUCCUUGUGUAUAUAAUUAAUAAACAAAGUAUAAUAUAAAAUAUUAGAUUUAGAAAAGAAUGAGAAUUCCUGAGAAUGGACAAAAGCUUAGGGAAACUCAGUAGCUUGCCCUUCGGUAAAUGCACGCUCAGGUCUCAAAAUAGUUUUUGCUCACUUGUGCCAUUACGGAGAGAACAUAUCUGAAGCAUAUCAGGCUGGUCCCCCCAGUACGAGCAGUUCAGAACCGAAAUGCCAGCAAGUUCCCUCUGCACAAGAGAUAAAGAUACUAUAAAUAUAUAAUUUUUUUAUUUUUUUUUUUAAAACAUUAUUAAUUUUGUACAAGUAAAUGGUAGUUUGCCCCCUGCUAACUCUCUGAAUAAUGUACAUUUGUUGUAAUCUCUUAGCAGGUGUUCCUUUUUUUUUUUUUCCUAUUAGAAAAUACAGAAAUCUUUUGCAUUUUUAUUUUAUUUUUUUAAUAUCAAGUACGAUCGAGAACUUGGAGAAAUUGUCCUUGCAGUCAUGUUUCACGUUAAUGUGAAGGAUUCUGCCAGUUCUGGAUUUUAAAUCUCUCAAUUUAAAAACUGCUCUGUUGAUAUGUGCUGUUGAACUGAAGCCAAACAGCAACCUUAAUCAAACUGCAUAAUUAACAUCUUCCUCGGUCACUCGUCAGAAGCUGCCGAACCUUGAGAAUUCUGUUUGCAAUACUUUUAUUCCCUUUUAAAGGGACACUGUUCUAAAAGGUUAUGUGAAGGUCGAAAAUCUUAAAUUCUUAAAGUACGAAAGCAUUAUUAUAAAUCCGUUUUAAUCAACAGCCAGCUCUCCAACUAUUAUAGAUCUACACCUACCAUGGUCCCAAAGCAGCCAGUCUGGGUAUACUCAUACUCCACUAAAGCCAUGCAUUUACUCAUUACACCCAUUAUCUGGAGUGGAGAAAGGUGGAAUGCAACAUACCAGAAAAAAACCCCUGAAUUUAGACAUUGAGUGCAUCAUUUAAAGCAACACUCUAAGGUUAAACAUUAAUAUUUAUUUAGUGUGUUUUGCUAUGCAUUUUUUAGUUUCUUGGGAACACCUUUGUAUAAAAAGGGAAAAAAAGAGCACGAGAAAGAGAGGCUGAUUUUCUUUUCUCUCUAGUAAACCAGUGCAUGGGUGGACUCUGUUGGCCAACGAUUCCUCCUCCGGUGCUCAUACAUAAGUGUUGGGGACCUAUGGUGCAUGUGUGGCAAUCCCUGUGCUAUGUCAAUCAGAUGCUUCAUCGUGAUGGCUGCAUCAUGUGAUGCGUGAGCAUGCCAAAUGUGAAGACCUUCAAAAACUGAAGGAAUCGGUGAAGAAGCCCCUCUAGUGAUCUUCUUAAUGCCAGCCGCUAGAGUUUAGGAAAAAUGCACCAAAACCACUACACUAAGAUGACGUUUUAGAGCUUAUAUGCUUAAAUAUUUUAAUUUUUUUUGGCAGACUGCAAGCUGUACUUCAUGGUUAUACUGUUCAGCAACCAAACUAAAUGUAGAUUUCUGUUGAAAACAUAUUUUGUAAUGUGUGUAAACAUUUGAUGUAUUUAUUGAGGUGAAAUGUUUAAUAGGUUGGGUAUCAUAGAAUGUGAUUUGCAUGUUUCUUCAUUUCAUUCAUAAGUAGACAAGUGUAAUUCGUUUUGGUCCGAAUGUGAAUUUGGACGAAUUUCGGGCAAUUCAGACAUUUGGGUACUUCCGAAUGUCCGACUAGGUGAAUUGCCGAAUGGUCGAAGUCCCAAAAUUGCCUAAGAACUAAUAUACUUACCCAGUGGAAGAAUGAAGAAUGUUACACUGUAUACAAUUUUAAAUAAAAAGUAUACAAACAUAGCCAGGAUUCAGCUGUAAGCAUUUGCAACACUUACAACAAUCAAGUAACAUACAUUCAUAUAAAAUGUAAGUUACUUAUCCAGUCAAUGUAAUUACAGGAAUGAAUAAGUAGAUAGCUCCCUAAUUCCCACGGUAUUAGGCAGGGCCAGAUUAAGAACCCAGUGGGCCUGGUGCUGACAAUUAUGACAGGCCUAAUUACAGAAUCAUAUCAACCAAAAACAGUAAAACACUCCCAAGAGUCAUGUAUCUGAUGGAGAUGGUGCGGGAGAGAAAGAAAACAGCAGCUAUAAGAAAACACAUACCCUAGGCUAAUCUCUCUAAUUUAUGUUUUAUUCUUUCAAGUAAAUCCAUAACCCCUAACAGCAGUGUCCAGUCAAGCAGGAAGUCAAUGGGCGGGGUAAAAGGGUGUGCCACUGACACAAAUCACGUAACCUGCCAAAAGGGGCAAACAUGCCAAAAAAGAGGAUAUGUCUGCUCAAAGAAUUAGAAGGCCAGCCUGGUAUGAAUGCAUGUCAGGCUGCCUGCCAAUCAUGCAGCUGGCCAACUAAGCGCAUACUAUGCAGACAGCACCCUGAGCUUGGCAUAAAUGCAUCUAAUGAUGCGCUCGCUCAACGCUUUCUAAGGACUGUCCCCUAGCACUUGCUGGUCCACUUGUCUCCUUACCUUCUUACUAGCAGGCAGAAGCUCCUGGUAUAUGGUCUGGGACAGAGAAAAGCUGUAUGUAGUGAGUGCAGAAGAAAGGGAACAUGCCACAGUGUUAGAGAGACCAAAGUCAGCAUUACCUUAAAGGAUCACUAUAGGGUCAGGAACACAAACAUGAAUUCAUGACCCUAUAGUAUUAACACCACCAUCUAGCCCCCCUGGGUCCCUCAUGCCUCCAUAAAUAUAGCAAAAUCUUACUGCAUUCAAGCCUGAAGCUGUAACUCUGCAUGCUGUUAGACUCAGAAAAACAAGCAGUCUGUUGACAUUAUUAGAAGUGGUGGCCUAAUCCAAUCACAGUGCUUCCCCAUAGGCUUGGCUGAGACUGACAAAGAGGCAGAUCAGGGGCAGAGCCAGCAUGAUUCAAACACAGCCGUGGCCAAUCAGCAUCUCCUCAUAGAGAUGAAUUGAAUCAGUGAAUCUCUAUGAGGAAAGUUCAGUAUCUGCAUGCAGAGGGAGGAGACACUGAAUGUUUGGAUGCAUUUUAGGCAGCCAUGACCCAGGAAGGAUCUCUAACAGCCAUCUGUGGCCAGUGGCCAGUGAAAUUAUCACUAGGCUGUAAUGUAAAGACUGUAUUUUCUCUGAAAAGACAGUGUUUACAGCGAAAAGCCUGACAGUAAUGAUUCUACUCACCAGAACAAAUUUAAUAAGCUGUAGUUGUUCUGGUGACUCUAGUAUCCCUUUAACUAUAUUCAUUGUCAGCCAGUCCACACAAGUUUUGUUCCCUUACAUCCCUCUUAAGUUUCCAUUCUUAAGUAAGAGUAUGUGAAAAGUAGUUAGGGUUGCCACCUUUCUUGGAAAAACAUACCAGCCUUACUAAUUUGCAUAAUUAAAUAUGUAUGGAUGACAUCGCAUGAGUGACAUAAGAGAAAAUGCUCUAAAAUCACCAAAAAACUACUUAGUUUGAUUCUGCUGUAUAGAUGGAUUCCUCCCAGUGCCCCCAUGUGUCGAUUACUCCAGGUCUCAGUGUUCCUAUGUAUCAGUGUCUCAGUGCCCCAUGACUCCCAGUGUCCCCUAGUGUCGUGUCCCCAGGUCUCCCAGUGAUCCUAUGUAUCACAGUGUCCCCAUGUAUCCCAGGGCCCCCAUGUCACUAGGAAGACGGGAAGACCUGGGGACACGGGGAGACCCAGGGACACGAAGACACCAGUGACAUUGGGAGACUAGGGGACUCUGGCUGGGACGCAUGGGGACACUGGGAAAAUAGGGGAGACUUGAAGACAUGGGGACACAGAUACCAUGGACACAGACACUAGAGACACUUACUCAGGGACAUGGGGACAUUGAGACAUGGGGACAAGGAGACACCAGGGCCUCAGACACUAGGGACACAAGCUUGGAGACAUGGGGACAUUGAGACACGUGAGGCACUGGGAGACAUGGAGGCACUGGGAGACAUGGGGACGGUGAGACACUGGCAGACUGGAGGCACUGGGAGACUAGGGGGCACUGAGACACCAGGGACACUGGCUGGGAGACAUGGGGACACUGUGUCCCCAUGUGUCUGUGUCAUAAUGUCUCCCAGUGUCCCUUAGUGUCUCAGUGUAUGUCUCCUUGCAGCCUUUCCCCAUCCCUUACUUCCCUGAGCUGUAGGCUGUCUCUGCAGGGUGGGAGUUGCUGUCUGGACUCUCUGUAGCUGCAUCCCUGCAGAUCAGUGAGUAUAGAUAGGCAGGGAGGGAUAUGCUGGAACUUCCUAUCCCUGCCUGUCUCCACACACAGUAACCCCUACUGGCCAGUGCUGGUAUUGCAGAGUAAUCUCUUGUUUAUACUGAGAAAAAUACCAGCAUUUGUAUUGCCAGUAUCACUGUAAUAUUGGCCAGGCAGCCUCAAAUACUGGCUGUGCCAAUAAAAUAAAAGCCAGGUGGAAUCCCUAAGAGUAGUGUCUGAGAAAAAAAAAAUGUAAAAAAACCACUACAGAGUGCUGUAGUUAUUAUGAUGCUAGGAGUGCCAUGACAACGUCCCAGGGUAAGUAGUCAGACUGUUUAAGGUUUCACAAUUUACCUGGGUUCUGCUGGGUCUAGUCUCCUCCUCUAGGAGAUCAGGACGCUCUCUGUUCUGAAGGAAGCACACCUGAUGCUCUAAGUCCGUUAGCUGGCCCUGCACUACUGGCAGCUGUGAUUAGUAUGCAGCACAUCGCAGGUAAGUUGUCAAACCAUUUGCAAUGUUUAGAUUGCAUACAUAGGAAGAGCGCCAGGUAAUUUCUAUCACCACACCCAUUACAGCGUAAUGUAGUUAUGGUGUUUGUAGUGUUCCUUUAUAAUUAUAAAGCUCUGUAGAAAAUUUGAUAUAUUAUUGUAAUAAUAAUGGAUGCUGAAACUUUGCUUCUAAAGCAGUCUGUGGAAAUAAGAUGCAUUGUUCUUGUUAUAAGUUAUAUUUUAUUUGAUUGAAUGAUUAAAAAGUCUAAAUAUAAUAUAUAUAUAUAUAUAUAUAUAUAUAUAUAUAUAUAUAUAUAUAUAUAUAUAUAUAUAUAUAUAUAUAUAUAUAUAUAUAUAUAUUUUUUUUUUACUUUAAAAAAAUAAAUAAAAUUUUAGUACUGCCCCCACUCACACCUCUAACGUGACAGUGUCCCUCUUUGUCAAUUUGAAAUGUUUGGCGGUGUUCUGAUAUAUUUCCUAUAACAGUGAUGACCAAUUUUGACACUCCUUAUGUCUGUGAAUUGCAUUUCCCAUAAUGCGUAGCCAGUAUUCAGGCUAGAUGGUAACCUGGUAAGACCUGGAGUGCCAUGAUUCUCCAAAUUACAAAAAUCAGAGUACAUUUCUUUACAUGUUAAUGCCACUGCCACAUUGAUUAAACCUUGAGGCUCUGGUAUCCUGAGAGAAGGUUAGCAGUUACUGUGCUAAGACUUUUUGGCUUUAACACCUUCAGCAACUUGGGAUGGGGGGUGGGAGGGAGAGAGGCACUGCAGGGUCCUGCAGUGACAGGAAAACAAAUGUUUUCCUGGCAUUGAAGAGUCCCUUUAACCCUGCAAUGCAAAACAUAGCAUUUUCUCUAAAACUAUGUUUUACAUUGCAGUGCUGCUUGCCUCUAGUGGCUGUCUACUAGACAGCCACUAGAGGCGCUUCCUGCAGUUUCACAAAGUUUGACACCAUGAAACAAGACUCUGUCUUCACGCUUUGCAUGAGAACAUCUAGCGCCAAUCAAAUCCCAUAGCAAAGCAUUUAAUCAAAUCGCUGUGCAUGCGCACUAGGUUCAUAACAUUGGCUGCGGGGGCUGAGGGACAUUAUAGCGUUGGGAAUACAUUUUUGUAUUCAUAACACUAAAAAAAGUGUUUCUGUUAUCUAUUUUGGUCACUGCUUCCUAAGGUUUUUUAAUGAGCUAAAAUGUGCUAUGUUUCUUGUCUGAAUUCUACUUAACUACACCCUUGGGUAUAUUAUUGGAAUGAAAAUAAUGAGCCUGGGGCCUGUGUUUGUUUUAAACCUUUAAAAAAAAAUAAAAAAAAUUAAUAUUUUUUUUUUUUUUUUUCAUGAGCUGGUCAUAUUAUUCCAAUUCUAAGACAAUAAUAAAGUGCCAUUAAUUUCACCCAUAUAGAUGAUAUGGCUUUUGAAAAAAUUUUAAGCCGCAUAUCGCUGCACCGGCAUCAAAUUAGAGAUUUCUACAGAUCUAAAUAAUUGCAGCUGUUUUUCAUAGGUUACUGGGAGAGCAUUUUAAUGCCCUUAAUUAAACAAACAGUAUAAAUUCAUGUUUUUUUUAUUUAUUUUUUUAAUUGGCAAGUAAAUUACUAAUUGGUAUUUUGGUAUUUCAGUUCCUCAGUAUGUGAUAUGCAUAUUUGUAAUUUAAUUAUUUUUUUUGUGUGCAAAAUUUUUCUUUUCUGCUUCUACAUCUGCCAGAGAGCAUGGGCUGAAUCUGAAUGUUCUCAUCUAUGAGUACCUUUUAAAUGUUUUUGAAUCCUUCGGACAGUCCGAAUUUGGGUUGUCUUGCCUUGCCAAUCUUGUACUUUUGUUGUCCCACUUCUAAGGAUAUCAGAGAAAAUUCCUCAGAAAAGUUUUUUUUGGGGCACUGACUUUUUUUUUUUUUGGCUAACAAGGAUGGUCUGUCAACCUGGCGCAUGUGAAUUCCUUUUUGUCCCUCUUUCCCUGCUUUGUGUCACCUGACGCUGAAAACAUACCUUCCAACUGAAACAUUGCGUCUAGAGUAAUGCCGGUGGGUGGGGUAGGAAGGGAUGGACCAGUGACUUAUAUCACGUCUCUGGCAUCGCCCACAGGUCGUUAACCCACCUGAACAAGUGACUCACUGCAGGGUCAUAGUGCUGUUAAUGUAGCCCAAGCAAGUCUAAUGAUGCGCUAGACAUGCAUGGGGGAAGGGUCGGGGGGAGGGAACAGUUCCCUGGUGUCCCUUAAAGCCUAGAACAAUAGUGGGACAGGACCCUAAAAAUGGUACUGUCUUGUCGAAAUCGGAAUGGUUGGGAGGCAUGUAAUCGUCAUUAUCUGCCAUGCACAAUGGUGGGACAAUCAUCUUGGAAACAAAUUGGAUAAGCAUUGGUGAUUACUCGACCUUUACAAUGUUUCGCCACUCUUGCGAACAAGGCGCGAUUCUUUUAAAAUUGUAUUUUAAUAGUUGAGAUGCGUAAUAUGGAUUUUAUUUUAUUUUCUGGGGGCUGAAUAGAUUGUAGAAUUCUGACUGGAAUUGGCUCUAGUAAUUAUGAGAAUUGUCAAACUGGCUGGAAUUCAACAAUUUUGACAGAAUUUUAUCCAUCCAGGUAAAAUGUGGUGUUUAGUAAAUACGCCUGAUUGUCACUUACAUGACCCUUCUGUCUGGAUCAGGUGAUUACAGGAAACAUGGUAUGGCUGCUAUCACUUUACUCCUAGCCAAGUCUAAGUUGUGCAUGUGGUGUGCAUGCACCCUUGUGCCUUCUUGAUUGGCAGCUUAGAGGGGCUGGCUUUUGUUUAAUUUUUUUAUUUUACAAAUCACUGCAGUUUUAAGAAACUCUUAGAGCCAUUUCAGAAUUCACUAUGCACCAUCAACCUUGCAAUAAGAGAGUGGCUCGUUAAGGACAAUUGACUUCAAAAUGGAACAUGCCCCUUCUUUAAGGUUAAACAUAUCAUUGCCUGGAUUUAAAAAAAAAAAAAAAAAGUGUUUAAUUUUUUUUAAAUGGACUCUCCAAGGUUGUGUUAACCUCCCUCUUUUUAUAUGUUAUGUAUUUAAAGAAAAAAAGCUACCGUAAAUACUCGAGUAUAAGCCGACCCGAAUAUAAGCCGAGGCCCCUAAUUUUACCACAAAAAACUGGGAAAACUUAUUGACUCGAGUAUAAGCCUAGGGUGGGAAAUGCAGCAGCUACUGGUAAAUUUCUAAAUAAAAUUAGAUCCCAAUAAAAUUACAUUAAUUGAAUAUUUAUUUACAGUGUGUGUAUAUAAUGAAUGCAGUGUGUGUAAACUGGGUGAGGGGAGGGCAUUUUUAUUUUAAUUGUUUUAAUAAUAUUAUUUUAUUAUAUUAUUUUAAUAUUAUUAUUAUUAUUAUUUUAAUAUUUGCAUUAUUUUUUUUUUAAAUGGUUUUUUGUCCCCCCUCCCUGCUUGUUGCCUGGUCAGGGAGCGGGGACAAAAAAACAUUUAAAAAAAAAAAUAAUUAAAAUAUUAAAAUAAUAUAAUUACAAAAUAUUAUUAAAAUAUGCUCACAGUGUCUGCAGGAAGGUAAGUAACAGCUCACUGUCAGUCCCCCCACUGAACAGCCAUGCCACUGGACCACCAGGGAUUUAAUAUUAUUAAAAUAAUAUAAUAUUACAAUAAUAUUUUAUUAUAUUAUUAUUAUUAUUGUAAUAUUUGCAUUACUUUUUUUGAAAUGUGUUUUUUUUUUUCCUCCCUGGCCAGGCAACAAGCAGGGAGGGGACAAAAAACAUAUAAAAAAAAAAAAAAAAAAAAUGCAAAUAUGAAAACAAUAUUAUUUUAAUAUUAUUUUAAUAAUAUUAAAUCCCUGGUGGUCCAGUGGCAUUGGCUGUUCAGUGGGGGGACUGACAGUGAGCUGUUACUUACCUUCCUGCAGACUUGCACUGUGAGCAGAACGGAGCUGACAGGGGAGCUGCACGGAGGAGAAGGGAGCUGACAGGAGCUGCAGGAAGGUAAGUAACAGCUCGCUGUCAGCCCCCAACAGGACCGCCGGGCUUGUAAUGAGCCCGGCGGUCCUGGUCUGUAUUAUGGCAAUGUAAGUUGCCAUAAUACAGACUGACUCGAGUAUAAGCCGAGUAGGGUUUUUUCAGCACAAAAAAUGUGCUGAAAAACUUGGCUUAUACUAGAGUAUAUAUGGUAAAUUAAAAUAUUAAAAGGAACACAAUAUAGCAUUAGGAAUACACACCUCUAUUCUUAGUGCUAUAGUUUUUAAUCUACCGAUUUAGGUUGUUGUUACCUAUGAGUAUCAUUUAUUUGAAAACAGAGUUUGACUCUGUACUCAACAUGGAAGCAUCUAGUGGAUGUCCAGAAGACCGAUACUAGCAGUGUGUUAACCCUACAAUGGAAACAUUGCGUUUUCUACAAAAUUGCAAUUUUUACAUUGCAGGAUUAAAACUAUAGGGCCACUGGACCCUGACCACUUCAUUGAAAUCAAGUUGCCUGGGUGCCUUUCAGCAUUUCCUUUUAAACCUAAAAAAAUGCUCACAUCUAAACUUAAUCUACAGCUCUUCAAAGGACCAGGAAAAGGGCAAAUUUUCUCAACUGAUCCUGGUCCUCCAUAGUUUGUGUGAGUGCUGAGCAUAUCUCAGACUUUUGCAUAGCACAUGCUUUACAUCAUAUGCAAUUAUGGAGCUUUAAGUAGUAUCAUUUAAAGGGACACUAUAGGCAACAAUACCACUUCCUCCCAUUCAAGUGGUCUGAGUGCAGUGUCCCUUUCGUUUCAGCCCUUUUGCUAUACAUUGUAGGGUUAAGCCUGCCUCUAGUUACUGUCUACUUGACUGCCACUAGAGGCACUUCCUGACCUUUCACAGAGUUUUAACUUCUUGAAUCGACGCUGGAUGUCCUCAUGCUGUGCAUGAGGAUGUCCAGCGUCUUCUAAAUCAGAUUCAAUGCUUUCCUAUGGGGAAGGCCUAAUGUGCGUUAGUUUCCCCCAUUGCCUGCCCUCGGUGAAGGAGGAAACCGACCCAAUGAGAGGGAUCUCAGGUUGAUUUGAAAAGUUAUUAACCCUUUAUUUGCUGCUGAGGUGGGGGAUUGGGGGGGGGUGGGGGGGGGUUAUUAUAGUGUUAGGAAUACAGUUUUGUAUUCCUAACACUAUAGUGUUUAACUGUAAAUCCACUGAGGGAGCAGAAGAAUUUCGACUUGCUAUAAAGUGUCAAUGGGAAGAGCUUUAAGGCUCCGAGAUAGAUAUGUUGAAACAUAUUUAAAAAAUGUCUUGCUUGCUUUUUUUUAAAAUAAUUUUUCUAACAAAAUAAAUGUCUUUGUUUUGUUGAUUGUGAGGUUGUUUUUAGCCAGAUGUUUUAUAUAGCAUUAACCGCCGUUGGGAUUAAAUCCAUUGGAUUAGCUCCAUUGAGAAAACCUUGUCAAUAUGAUGUAAACUCAAGUGGCAGCAACAUAUUAUACCGCUUAAUAAAAUAGCGAGCAUAUUCCACAUUUAGAGUGUAUUACACACUGUGUCAUCCAGCUGCCAUGGUAACGCACUGACAACAGGCAGUGUGACGAGGUGAGUCGAGGACAAUUUGGGUAUUGUAAUAGGAAAAGUAAUUCACAAGAUACUCCGUAAAUGGCCAGGUUCAUGGAAGUGAUUGAUUGCAAAAGCAAGAACUAUACAAUACUGGGGGAAACAGUGGCAUUCUAUCCACUGUAGCUAGAUUGUGAAUACAAUUUCUUUUAAUGGUUACAUAAUCAGAAGAGGGUAUAGGAGGGACAACUCGGGUACUUGAAUUCAUGAAGUCCAGUUAAAUGAUAAAAAACUAAUUGAGAGACAACGAAGACCCUUGAUAGUCUUAACACUUAAUGGACAACUGUCAUCUCAAAACUGUAUCUCCCCGUCUGCCUUUAAUGAAAUUUCCCCCAUGGCUAUCCUUGUCUGGUUUCUGCAUCAAUUAAUUUGUUACUCAUUGGCUAUGAAGAUCAGCUGGCCGCUCUCUGCCAAUGAAUGGCACACUGUUCAUAAAAAAUUGCACAUACUAUGGCUACUGACGCCCCAAUGACGCCGUUGAAUGUGGAGUUACACCAUAGGCCGCUAAAGACUUAAAGGGACACUAUAGUCACCAGUGCAUCUACAUGUAUUCCUGACCCUAUAGUGUUAAUACCACUAUCUAGCCCCCCUGGGCCCCUCAUGCCUCCAUAAAUAUAGUAAAAAUGUUACUGUAUUCAAGCCAGAAGCUGUAAAUCUGCAUGCUGUUAGACUCAGGAAAAACAAGCAGUCUGCUGACAUGUGAUAGCCUGAUCCAAUCACACUGCUUCCCCAUAGGAUUGGCUGAGACUGACAAGGAGGCGGAUCAGGGGCAGAGCCAGCAUGAUUCAAACACAGCCCUGGCCAAUCAGCAUCUCCUCAUAGAGAUGAAUUGAAUCAAUGAAUCUCUAUAAAGAAAGUUCAGUGUCUGCAUGCAGUGGGAGGAGAUACUGAAUCACAGGAUGCUCGUGCACAGCAGAUCUGAGUGCAGAUUUGGUUCAUUCUGAGUGACUGCAACUGGAGGUGUUCCUAGCUUUCAAUGUAAACACUGUAUUUUCUCAUAAACUACAGUGUUUACAUGAGAGAGGCUGCAGGGAGCUAUAGUUCUCACCUGAACAACCUCAUUAAGCUCAAGUUGUUCAGGUGACUAUAGUGUCCCUUUAAACUUGGAGUAGCCCUUUAAAGGGACACUAUGGUCACCAGAACAACUACAGUUUAUUGAAUUUGUUCUGGUGAGUAGAAUCAUUACCUUCAGGCUUUUUGCUGUAAACUCUGUCUUUUCAGAGAAAAUGCAGUGUUUACAUUACAGCCUAGUGAUAACUUCACUGGCCACUCCUCAGAUGGCUGUUAGAGAUCCUUCCUUGGUCAUGGCUGCCUAAAAUGCAUCCAAACAUUCAGUAUCUCCUCCCUCUGCAUGCAGAUAAUGAACUUUCCUCAUAGAGAUUAAUUGAUUCAAUUCAUCUCUAUGAGGAGAUGCUGAUUGGCCAGGGCUGUUUGAAUUGUGCUGGCUCUGCCCCUGAUCUACCUCUUUGUCAGUCUCAGCCAAUCUUAUGGGGAAGCAUUGUAAUUGGAUCAGGCCACCACUUCUGCUGAUGUCAGCAGACAGCUUGUUAUUCUGAGGCAAACAGCAUGCAGAGCUACAGCUUCAGGCUUGAAUACAAGUAAGAUUUUACUAUAUUUAGGGAGGCAUGAGGGGGCCAGGGGGGCUAGAUGGUGGUUUUAACACUGUAGGGUGAAGCAUAGUUUGGAGGUGUUUUCAGUUUGGCUAUUUUGUUUUAAAGGAAUACAGACAUGUAUUCCUGACACUAGAGUGUUAAAAUAACUAUUUUGGUGUCUGCCCCCCAGCCCUGUGCAAUGAAAAGGUGAUUCCCACGCCGAUCUCACCAAGACUGGCCCUGCUUGCCUUAUGAUCUCAGUCAAUCCAAUGUUUUCCCAAUAGCAUUGCACAUGCACAACAAAACCCACUGCUCCAAUCAGCAUCUCAUAGAUAUCCACUGAAUCAAUGCAUCUCUUUAGGGAACAUUUAGCUCUUCCAUGCGGAGAGUGGAGACGCUUAGUGUAGGUCCUGCAAACUGUGCCGCAGUGGACUAGGAAGCACCUCUAGUGGCAGUCUUGAGUGACUGCUACUAGAAGUGUUACUGUGCAGCUAUGUGAACACUGCCUUUUAAAGGGACACUAUAGUCACCAGAACAACUACAGCUUAUUGAAUUUGUUCUGGUGAGUAGAAUCAUUCUCUUCAGGCUUUUUGCUGUAAACACUGUCUUUUCAGAGAAAAUGCAAUGUUUACAUUACAUCCUACUGAUAACUUUACUGGCCACUCCUCAGAUGGCUGCUAGAGGUGCUUCCUGGGUCAUGGCUGCCUAAAAUGCAUCCAAACAUUCAGCGUCUCCUCCCUCUGCUUGCAGACACUGAACUUUCCUCAUAGAGAUUCAUUGAUUCAGUUCAUCUAUAUGAGGAGAUGCUGAUUGGCCAGGACUGUGUUUGAAUUGUGCUGGCUCUGCCCCUGAUCUGCCUCCUUGACAGUCUCAGCCAAUCCUAUGGGGAAACAUUGUGAUUGGAUCAGGCUACCACUUCUGAUGAUGUCAGAUGAAGUUCACAGGCAGAGGCAGCAGCUUCAGACUUGAAUACAAGUACGAUUUUACUAUCUUUAGGGAGGCAAAGGGGGCUAAGUAGUGGUUUUAGCACUAUAGGGUCAGGAAUACAUGUUUGUGUUCCUGACCCUAUAGUUCUCCUUUAAAGUGGCAUUGUCAUGCCGAACUUACCUUUCCCCAACCACUUCCUCUCUUAGAAUCUGUUCUUUUCUUCUUAUCUGAUCUAGUUUUCUUUAAAACAUAAGCUAAAGUAGGGACUAUUUUGUCUUUUGUAUUUUUCCUACGCUUGACCAGCUUUGACCCAGAGGAGGAGCUAAGUCCACUCCAUUUCCUGUGGUCAAAGCAAUUUUCCCACAAUAAUUACCUCUCCUCUAUGUUCUCCUGUUGCUUCAUUCGCCAUUAAAACGCCAGUGAAACUACCAAAUUUCGUCCUAACAGAAUGAGAACAGUUUGUCCAUUCAUGUUAGGAAAAGAACAGAUCCUGAGAGAGGAAGCAAUUGGCGAAAGGUAGGUUCGGCAUGACCGUGCACUUUAACAUUUCACCUUUCUAAUAACUUCAAACUUGACCAGAAAAAUGUAUAACUGGAAUGAUUAUUCUUUUUAAAGUAACAUCAGUUUAAAAAUAGCCCAGUUGGCAUUUUUUCCAGUUCAAAUUAUUUGUUUUAAAAUGUUAUAUUCCUUUUGUCAGUUUUCCCCAAUCCUGCGUUCGCAUCAUCAGGACAAAGUAAUAGAUUUGAAACCAUCACAAAUAAACUGUUUUCACUGAAUAGACAUUUUUAUCCUUAAAAUCUGUGAAUGCCAAACACUGAUCAGUGCUUCAGAGUUUAAAAGCUAUUCUUCUGAAAUGAGUUUGGUCCAAGGCCAGUAAAUCGUUGCAAUUAAUUUGCUGGGCCCUGUUCAUACAAUGAUGCCAUUUUAAAUUAAAUGUAUUUGGAGUUCGGGUCAUGUAGGAAAACAUUUUUUUUUUUUUUUUUUUUCUUAGAGACGUGAUUUUUCCACUUCUUCAUAGCUAGACUUUAUUGCUGCAAUGCAAUAGGUUUAUAAAAGAAAGAAAAAAAGGCAUAAUUAACAUCAAAGGUCUUCAUUUUAACUACAUACAUUCGUUCUUACACACACUUUUGGCAUAAGUGCUUUUUACAUUUGCAUUGUUGCAGAUCUUUCUACGAUAUAUUAGUUCUUGUGCAUUCGCUCUUUUGGCACAAGUGCCUUUUAUAUUUCCAUUGUUAGUCUUUGUGUGCAUUUUCUCCAAUGAUUCUGCAAUAUGCUGGGGCUUAAUACAUAAUUGAUAAGAGCACUAGCCAGGAAAGCUGUUUUGAGUUCAGAAAACGAAGCCCUGCACUUUUAAUACCGCUAUGAAAAUGGCUUUAGAUGAAAUGUUAAGAUUAUCUGAAAUGUCUGAAUCAUACAGACUGUCUUCCAGACCAUUAAACAAUGUUGGACGUCCUCACGCUUUGCAUAAGGCUGUCUCACAUCCAUGCACAUUUGGUCCAACAAUCACCUGGACAUUGCAGGAGGAGGAUACCUAGCCAGUAUAAUCUAUAAAAGGGUUUCUAACCUUUUAAUUGACAGCAUGGGUAAGUGUGUAUCAAGAAAUCUUGUGACAGGGACACUAUAAUGUUGGGUAUAGAGGUUUGUAUUCCUAAUGCUACAGUGUUGUUAUUUUAACUUGGUAACUUUAGACGCAGUUGUAAAUUUUAAAAGCUUAUUUGUACAAUCCAUUUUUUUUUUUUACAUGAUUGAGCAUUCAGCUACUUGUCACACCCGCUGACAUAUAGAUACAAACUGUGAUACACACACUGACAUACAGAUUCACACUGACACACACACGCUGACAUACAGAUACACACUGACCCAUACACACACACGCUGACAUAUAGAUACAUACACGCACACUGACAUAUAGAUACACACUGGCCCAUACACACACGCUGACAUAUAGAUACACACUGACACAUAGAUACACACUGGCCCAUACACACACACACACUGACUUAUAGAUACACACUGGCCCAUACACACACACACACACACUGACUUAUAGAUACACACUGGCCCAUACACACAUACACACACACACACACUGACUCAUAGAUACACACUGGCCCAUACACACACACACACACACACUGACUCAUAGAUACACACUGGCCCAUACACCCACACACACACUGACUCAUAGAUACACACUGGCCCAUACACACACACACACACACUGACAUAUAGAUACACACUGGCCCAUACACACACACUGAUAUAUAGAUACACACACACACACACACACACACACACACUGACAUAUAGAUACACAUGUCAUACUUAUAUAUUUGCAGUCACCCCCCUGUUAGCUUACUUUUGUGUCCAGGAUGGUGGCUUGCUUGGGAUUCUGGCCCUGGCUGAGGCUGAUGUGAGUGAACAUGCAGCAGCAUCUCACUCCAGCCUCUUAUCUUCCUGUCUUUCUAUGGGAAUGUAUUAGAUUGGCUGAUGAUGAUUUCUGAUGAUGUCGGUAAGAAGGCGGAUCAGGGGCGGGACACCUAUAAAUAAGGUAAACACGGUAAGGUUUUUUUUUUUUUUUUUUUUUUAAAGAUGGGGGCAAGCCAUCUAAACAGUUUUAAUGUUGUAGGUUCAGGAAUACAUGUUUGUGUCCCUUUAAGUCCUUCUGUAACCAUAACCGCUAGUUUUAGUAGUGCUGAACGUUUCUCAUUUAAUAAAACCUAAUUCACAGCAUCCUGUUUUGUUUUCUUGACUGGUUUCUUGUAGCAAUAAUUAUUUACAUUUUAGUUUUUUUUGCUCAGCAUUCAGCAGGUUGAUUCCUGUUAUUUCUCUGCUCUUUGGGGGACCUUUUUGUCCUGGAAUUUAACAGCAGGCCUCCUAUCCUCAUGCUUGUGAGUGGCCUCGUUUAAUAGGGAAUUCUCAUUAAAGGACCAGUAUAGGCACCCAGACAACUUCACCUUAACGAAGUGGUCUGGUUGCCAGGUCCCCCUAGUUGUAACCCUGCAGCUGAAAACAUAGCAGUUUCAGAGAAACUGCUAUGUUUACACUGCAGGGUUAAUCCAGCCUCUAGUGGCUAUCACCCUGACAACCACUAGAGGUGCUUUUGCGAUUUACACUGAGUAAAUCGCACCUAUUUGAUGCUGGAAGUCCUCACGGAGUACAGCGUCAAAUGAGAUCCCCAUAGGAAAGCAUUGAGUAAUGCUUUCCUAUGGGCGGGUAUGAAUGCGCGCAUGCCUCUGGCCGCGCUUUGCAUUCGGCUCCACUUGGGAGUUGACGUCGGUGGGGGAGGAGAGGUCACCAGCGCAGAGGGAGCCCGGCACUGGAUUAAGGUAAGUGGCUGACCCUUCGGUGGCUAGGGAGGGGGUAUUCCAAGAGCCUACAGGAUCCCCCCAUGGUCACUGCUCAGCAGUUAAUGCUAGCAAGCCAUCAUGAGAGUUGUAGUUCUACAAUAAUUUGGAAUAUGCCUUUUGUGCCACCUUGACUUUACCUCCGUUAUCAAAGGAUGUUGUCGUUCUCUCGUCUGAUGCUUGUGGAAAGAGACCUUUUAAAAUACAGCAAAGUAAGUUAUGAAUGACCAGGCCAUAUUUACUCGCUUUCUUUUAUAUUCCUCUUCAUGCGUUCUGGGAACCCGCACUUAAACAUUUUCUCUUUGCAUUUUAUGAUUUCAUUUGCUGUAAGUGUAGCUGUAAAAAGGUGCCGUCUGCAGCUAUAAAUGGGUUAAUUGUUUUUGCAGGUAAGAAAAUCACAGAAAAAUAGAAAAUUACAGAGUGUAAUCAAGAGUUUGCAGAAUGCGAAUUGACUAGAUAAACGGUAUUUAAGUGUAAAUUGAAGGCUUUUUAGUGAUAUAAAUGGUGCCAUUUCUGUAGCUGCGUGUGCUGAUUGUUCACAUCGAGUCUUUGUUUACACAGUGUGUACAUGGAGAUGUUAAAACUAGCUGUAUUUACUUGGAAAGAUGUCGAGAUGUAGCAAAUUCCAUCAUUUGCAAGUAGGCAAAAACAUAUCUCUGGUAACUAUUUUGGCGUAAACACAUAUACACAACUGGCACUUAAAGGCUUAAUGAACAUGCCAAGACCACAGUCAUUAUGCUUUGCAUGAUCUCAUCACAAGUGUCUUGUCAAAAAUUAAAAUAGAAAAGACAAAGGAUUUGGGAGCACACCUGAAACAUGCAUUCGCAGGAAUGGUGCUGCCAAAUUCAUACAUACUACUACAUACUAUUAAAGCACAGCGCACACAUAAAAAUACAUCUUUAAACUUUAUAAGGCUACUUAACUUUGCGUAUCUUGGCAAACAAAUAUGGGGAUCCAGUUCCACCAUAUGGCCAUAUUGUGUUAAGCCCACCACUACUUCACAGUACCCCAAUACCAGUGGGUACUACACUAAUUCCAAUGUAGGAGAUAAAUUAAAUAGUGCUAAAGUGUAUUUUUUGCAAGAGCACUGUGUGUGUGUGUGUGUGUGUAUGUGUAUAUGUAUAUGAAGCCUUAUAUAUAGUAAUAAAAAAGAAAAAAGUACAGUGUCAAAUCGAAACAAUUAAAGAGAUGUAUAUGCUCACAAUGCAUAUAUCCUAUAUCUUUGAAAAUUAUAAUUAAAGAAAAAGAACAUGAAAUUGCUAUUUACCUAGGGCUGCCUGAGGUCAUCAGGGAACUAAAUCAGGAUGGCGGGAUAAGAACCCUAAAGUGAUGCUAUAGUGUUAGGAAUCCAACUUUGUAUACCUAACACUAUACCUCUGUAGCGUUACUCACCUUCUCCAGGGGCCGGCCGCGGUCCUCUCUUCAAGCCGCGCGCGGUCAUGCUGCUGCACGAGCCGCGCGCGGCUCAUCCGACGGCUCCACUAGCAAGGCGGGCAGUGACCGCGAGAAGCGGUCACGUGUCCCGCCUGAAUCUAAGAGCGCGCCGCGAGUCUCGGGCGCGCUCUUAAAGAGACAGUGGGAGCCUAAAUUGUCAAAAGGCUCCCAUUGGCCCCUGUCAUGCCACACUCCCCAUACACUUACCUUUUGGGGGUGUGGAUAUGACAGGAGCCAAUCACAUUAGUUUUGAAGCUAUUUAAACUUACCUCUCCCUCUACUCCCUGCCCUAUCGUGGUUUCUGUAUCAGUUCCCUUUAGCGCUUGUUGUGUUCAGUUGUGUUUCUCCGUAUUGACCUUGGCUUUGUUUCUGACUACGUUUUCUCUUUAUCCUUCUGUUCUGGUUGUCGGCUUGUUGUUUACUGUGUACCAGACCCCGGCUUGUCCUAGUUUACGCUGUCUCUCUGUGCCCUUGAUUUCAGAUCGUUCCUGACUCUGUCUCCUCUCAUAUACGUCGAGUCCGGCCAUUCUAAGGUCCGGUAGACGUAUCUCUCCUCUGUGUUGUCUUCUGUUUAGCUGAAUCCUGCGUGUUUGGGUAUAUUCUCGUUACAACCUCCCUCUGACCCCCCCUCUCCUCCCCUCCACUGUAAAUGUUAAAGAAGUGGCUCUGGUGCUGGUUUCUGUACUCCCCAGAAACCAGCCCCGAUCUUCCUCGACACUGGGACAACGUUUGGCCUCCUCUGGCGUCACCCGACGGGGGUAGGGUGGAGGCCAAUUUGCAUGUAACCCCAGCAGCAAUGCUUUUCUAUGGAAAUUUGAUGAAUGCUGGAUGUCCUCAUGUAGAGCGUGAGGACAUCCAGCAUUAGAUAGGCAACCAGAGGUCACUUAGCAAGCAGGAAGUACCUCUAGUGGCUGGCUGAUUGACUGCCACUAGAGGCAGUCUUAACCUUGCAAUAUGAUUAUUGCAGUUUCUCAAAAACUACAAUAAUGAACAUUGUAGGGUUAAGGGGUCAGGAAAAUUGCACCCAGACCACUUUAAUGAGAUUAAGUGGUUUGGGUCCCUAGAGUUUCCCUUAAAUCUGGAUUGUCCUGCUGAAAUCGAGACUGAUGGGAGUGCUGCUCCUUAACUGUUUUUAUUAAAACAACCCUUCUUGUCAUUGCUGUUUCUCAGACUUGCUAUGUUGAACAAUGAAUAGAAUCCAUCAAAAUGUGUUAUUGUCUUUGAUUGAAUACUACUGCUUUGAAAGAAUAAGCAGUAAAAAGAAUAAUAGAGGGGAAAAAAAAUGACAGAAUGUUGUGAUUGAAUAUUUUCCGAAGUGUCUAGCACACCCGUUCAUGGCAGGCUUCGUGACCUAUUAACGGACCGGCAUGCAGUUUUACCCGUACAUGAACUGUCAGACCCUUUUAACAAGGCAUUUUAAAUGUCUAAGGAACACAUGAAAAGGUUGGAAAGCCAAUUUAAAAUACAGAUGCACCUUAUUAGUUUAUAAAUAACAUUUCUAGGUAAUAUUCUUGGAAUUUUCCUCUUCAUUAAUGCUAAGAAAACAAAUAAUAUAUUCUAGUGAGAAAAAGGAUGGGACGUUCAGUAAACUAUUCUCCAAUCUAUUUCUACCUUUUUUUUUUUUAUAUAUAUUUAGAAGUGCAUAGUCGCAUAUGGAGAAAAUACAUUUAAAAAUCAACAUAAAUAAAUGAAAACAUUUUAAUUAACAGUCUCAAAAAGAGCUAGACAGGUUGGAGAUUACGGAAGAACAUGUCUAGAGAAUGCAGUUCCAAGUGUUGUGUCAAUAAUCCGUGUUACGGGCUGUUUAACUAGCAUCCAACAUUAUACAAGCAUACAUUAUAACACAGGCUAUACUCUAUCUGAGUGCAUUCAGCAAUCACCAUGGUGAUGGUGGGGUAAACAAAACAAAACAAAAAAAAACGAAACAAGCUAAGAAGUUGUGCCUUACCCACCAACAGUAAUCCAUUUAACGUUUACAGUUAAUUUUGCUUGACCAAAUACUGGGCUGGUUCCAACCAUAAUCUGUUCCAUGGAAGCCACACUGCGAACUGUGAGAGUAGGACAUUUGACCCAAAAUAACAAUUUUAGGGUCUGACCUGUGAUGGCAACAUAGAGACAUAAACCCACUGUAAACUCUAUGGAGCAGGAACUUCUAUCCAAAUGUAUGCAGAUGCAUCUAUGUAAUAACUCGUACGUGACAUACCACCUGGCCAAUGACUUGUCUGGAGCUGAAAAACAUCCUCGGGAAUAGUAUGGGGGAUGGCUGUGUGGGACAGCUUCAGGUAAGCUACAACCUAAGCUUAGAUGUCCACCAUGAAAGUGACAAAACCGCUUUGAGAGCAGCAGAAAAAUGGAUCCCUUGUUUUAUCAUGUUGUCAGUUUGUGUCUUGACUCAUUUUAGUUAAAAGGUUGAGUUAUUUUUGUAAUAGGACUUGAAGUCCAUUUUAAAAAAAAAUAUAAAUUCCUCAAUAAAAUGUUGUCAAAUGUGUUUACGAUGGAGAACUCUGUAUUGAAGCCUUCGGAAAGCUUGUUCUUAUUUGACUGGCAGAAUUUGUGUUCUGAAACUUGAAAAAAAGACAAAAGACAUCAAUAGCAAGGAGUACUAAUAGUAAAUCAACCAUAAUUAACAGCAAGAUCUUCCUCUGACCCUUCAUACAUUAUGUAUUGUAUUCCCAGUAAUGUCAAUCAUUAUUCAUGAAUCCCUCAAUUAAGAAUAGCCGCACUUUGUAAGCUCUGGGUUUGUCUUCUCCUAAUAUGCCCUCCAGAGUAAGAUUGUUUUUGUGGUACACAUCUUAUUAAAUAUCUAGGUCUAGAGAGACCUAAUUAAUCCUAAUUUAAAUCCUGCUUUGCACUAGGGGUCUCGGGUCUACAGAUGUUUUUGGUAAGUUUGGGUAUAACGAAAACAUGAAUAGAAAUGCCAUCAUUCAGGAACUUAAAGCAUUGUAAAGUGUUCUAUCAAGCAAACCUGUUUAUAAGGUUUCAUUAAUAAUAGAUUAAAGGGACCCCUAGUUGAAUGCAUUCUAUACAUUUUAAACUAAAAUAGAAAAGAAUACUUUAACGUUCCUGCUACGGCUGCAUUUUUAAGCUGCUCUCAGUUUGACGGGCUGCAUUCACAGUGUGAGAAUAAAGACGUGCGCAGUGUUUGUGGCCGCUGAAUGCAUCAUGUACAUAUAAGAAAAUCAGUCUCUACAGGUAAUAGAGAAGGAGUCUCGAACGGUGUACACAUGCUUCAGGAAUAUUGAUAUGGUCUGAUGGUUAACAACUCGGGGUUUUUCACUAAAAUGAGAAUUCAAAAUUAAUUUCAAAUGUAAGCUCUGUUCAGCUACUCCGGCCUUAAAUUUGAAAUUCACUUUGAAUUCUCACUUUAGUAAGUAACCCUGAGCUGCAACUCUGUUCAAGAAAAUUGCAGGAACACUCCGUGCACUGUAACACUUGCAAGCUAUAGCCAAACUCCAUUUAUGUUUAGGCCUGCUAUCAGGCAGGCAAACCAAGCAACUGCUCGGGGCCCCGCGCUUCCUAUAAGGCUGCAGCCGCCUCAGCGCUCUAUAGAGAGCCUCAGGCGGCUGCAGCACUCCUCUCUCGUCACCUCCCCUUCCCUGUAGCGUGACCAAGCUCCUCUUCCUCCUGGCUGUCAGUCUGGCCGGGUACUGCAUGGUACAGGAGAUUGUUUCCUGUUCCCGGCCGGACUGACAGGAAGUGCACACUGGGGGAAGGGGAGGUGAGAACUGAGAAGAACAUGGGGGGGGGUGGGGGUAAAAAGAACCUUGGGGAGUAAAAAAAAAAAACAUAGAGAGGGGAGGGGGGAGUAAGAAGGACACAGGUAGGAUGGGAGGGGAGUAAGAAGAACAUAGGGGGGAGGAGUAAGAAGAACAUAGGGAUGGGGAAGGAGUAAGAGUUUGUGAGUUUAAGGAGUUUGUGAGAACUGAAAAAUGUUAAUGUGAGUGUGUGUGUUUUAAGUAUGUUGGAUUUAGUUAUUGUGCACUUUUUUAAUGUAUAUUUGAUUUUAUGGUACAGUGGUGUUUUUUCCAAAUGUUCAAUUGUUAAAAAUGUUCAAAUUUUAUGCACAGUAUAUGCAACAGCAGUAUUUGCACUGUAAACCUUAUUUAUAUAAAGUGUGGGUGAACUUAAACUGUAUGGCUAUGCUGUGGUUCCUGUAGGCUUUGCGUGUGUGAGGGGGGGGGGGGCCUCCAUGUCCAUUUUGCUUGGGGCCCCCAAAUUCCUUCAAACGGCCCUGGUUAUAGGCAUCAAAUCAAAUUUAGCUUAAUGAAGUGAUUUGGCUCCUAAGUGUCAGAGAAUUGAGCAGUGAGACUGCAGGGGCAUGAUCUAUACACCAAAACUGCUCCAUGAAGCAAAAGUUGCUUUGGUGUCUAUAAUGUAAUUUUUAAGUUUAUUAAUGUGACAUGUACUUGCUAAAUAUACAUACUAUGAACUUAUGUAAUUUGAUCAUUUUUAUAAAUAGAUGAGAAUCCCAACUCUAAUGCUGACACUUAUUAAACACACAUUGUAAGAACUCCAUUCAUCUAUUACAUAAUUCACUUCUUGACUAAAAAGUGGUCUCCUACGUGUCCAAGUCUGACCCUUAAAGGGACAUUCUCAGCACUAAAACAACUUUAGCUUAAUGAAGUGGUUUAGGUAUAUAGAGCAUGCCCCUUCAGUCUCACUGCUCAAUUCUCUCCCAUUUAGGAGUUAAAUUACUUUGUUUAUGCAGCUCUAACCACACCUCCCCUGGUUUUAGGCACAUAGAUUUAGUUCUUCUUUUAUAAAAGUUGAAUAAAAAAUGUACUAACUGACCUUUACUUUUUGUAUAUAUGGUGGCCAUUCAUCAUCAUUACCGUUCAAAUGAUGUAUUUAAUUUCUUCACUCAUGAAUGCUGGGAGCUAACAAGCUAAGGUGCUUAAAUUCCAGGUUCUGAUUGUAGGCAUCCCAUUAUCUCAGCAACUUGGUCCUAACCCGAGUCCCUUUCAUAAGAGAGAAUGCAGUAGAAGUUAUUUCUUAACCCAAAAAUCUGAAAACAUACGAGGAGAUAUAUAACCAUGUGUGUAGGCAUUGACGGGAUAUGCAUCACUUUAAUUCAACAAUCUCAUCUAGUAGCUUUAGCUUUGAAUGUGUCACAGUGCCGUGGGAUUCUGUUCGCAUGGCCGCACAGAAACACAGCGGUCACGCCGACAGAAAUAAUAAAUACUUACCUUACCGGCGGCAGACCACUACCCGACCUCCUUCCGUCCUGGUCCCCAGCGUGUGCGGCGUUCCUAGAGACGCCGUCCACUGAGGUUCCUGUUUUAAUGGGGAUAUAGCCUUUGCCCACGUUAAAGAUGGCGCGUGCGUGUGAUGUCACAUCAUAGACGUGCAUGCACGUUUUGGGGUCAGAGGCCACAUACAGCAAAUUGCAGCUUUAGGCUGUUUAUUUAAACCAAGAUUGCCUUUUGAUCAGUGCCCUGUUGUGGUUUUCCUUUGCUGGUUAUCCGAGAGUGUGUUCCUGAUCGUAUUAUUCUGGUUUUUGACUUUGGCUUCGUUUUCACUUCCCUAAUUUCUGGUAACCAAUAGGUGUCCUCAGGGCCGCCAUCAGGGCAUGACAACCGCAACGGUUGUCAUGGGCCCGGCGGUCCUGGGGGGCCCGGACUGCUCAGGUCGUCCGGGCCCCACAUUCAGUGGGUACAUACCGGGUCGCAGGGGGUCCUGCGACCCGGUAUGUACCCACAGGGCCAACCUCUUCUCCUGGGGGGCCCAGCAGCCGGCCACCUGAGGGCCCCCCCGAGGCUGGCCCUGCUGACACCCGGCGGCCGGCGCGCGAGGGAGCACUCUCUGAGUGCUUCUUCUUCAGCUCCCUCGCGCGGUGUACUGAUGCGGAGCCGGAAGAUGACGUCAUCUUCCGGCUCCGGCAUCAGUACGCGGCGCGCGAGGGAGCUGAAGAGGAAGCACUCAGAGAGUGCUCCCUCGCGCGCCGGCCCGCCCGCCGCCGGGUGUCAGGUGGGGGGGAGAAAUGAAAUUCGCGGGAGGGGGGGAAGGAAUGGGAGGGGAUGAGGAGAAAGAAACGAGUAGGAAAGAAUUAAAUGGGAAGGGGAUAAGGAAUGAAAUGGGAAGGGGGAUAAGGAAUGAAAAUGGGAAGAGGAUAAGGAAUGAAAUGGGUGGGAGGGACAAGGAAUGAAAUGGGUGGGGGAGAAGGAAUGAAAUGGGUGGGGGAGAAGGAAUGAAAUGGGAGGGGGAGAAAAGAAUGAAAUUUGAGGAGAGGGGGAGGAAGGAAGGAAAUGGGGGGGGAAAGAAAUGAAAUUUGAGGGAGGGGUGGAGGAAUGAAAUUUGAGGGGGGAGAGGAAUGGAAUUUGAGGGAGGAGAGGAAGGAAAUUUGAGGCAGGGAGAGAGGAAGGAAAUUUGAGGCAGGGAGAGAGGAAGGAAAUUUGAGGGAGGGAGAGAGGAAGGAAAUUUGAGGUGGGGAGAGGAAUGAAAUUUGAGGGAGGGAGGGGGAGAGGAAAAGGAGAGAAGUGGAGGGGCAAGGAGAGAAAAGAGAAUUUGAGAGAGGGGGCCAGGGGGCAAGGGAAGAGAGGAAGUGGAGGGAGAGGAAGAAGUGGAGAGGGGGAGGGAGGAGAAGAAGGAAGUGGAGAGAGAGAGAGGGAGGGAGGGAGAAGAAGGAAGUGGAGGAGAGGGGGAGAAAAGAGGUGUGGUGGGGAGGGAGAUUGACAUCCAUCACACACAAUGCACACCUUGCACACAGAAAAACACACAAUGCAUUACACACAGACACACGUACACAAGCAAUGCAUCCCUUACACACAGCAACACACAAUGCACUCCUUACACACACUCAAUGCAUCCCUUACAGACGCACACACUGCAUCCCAUACAUACACAAACUCAUCUUGCAGCCCUUACACAUACAAACACAGAUUCACACAAUGCAUUCCUUACACACAUCAGGACAUCCCUCCCCCACACACUCCACUCCCUGUGAACAAACUCAUUGGUGGAACAUGAAGGUGGACCCAGACCUUGAGCUGUGUAAAGGGCCCUCAAAAAAAUGGAGCUGCUUCCCGUUCUCCCAGAACACUGAUUUUUGUGACCACAGUUACAAACCGCCUCCAGAGAGCCUGUUCUACACCAGACCAGUGGAGCCAGACGGCAGCUAGAGCCAUCAUCCUCCUCAUCUGGUUGUAAGUAGGCAAUCUAGUAUAUUAUUCGUGGCACUAAUCUCUAAUUUACCUCACAUUAAAGGGACACUAUAGUCCCAAGAACCACUGCAGCUUAAUGUAGUGGUUCUGGUGUCUAUAGCCUGUCCCUGCAGGCCUUUUAAUGUAAACACGGCGGCACUGCAGCACUGGUGUUAGUUAACAUAGCAGAUCAUAUGGGUGGGGCAUUGUGAUGUCACAUGGGGGGGCGGCAAACUUUACUUUUGCCUAGGGCGGCAAAAAUCCUUGCACCGGCCCUGUAGACACUGCAUCCCUGUGGGCGGAUUCGGGGGGGGGCAGCACUUUGGGCGGACUCGGGUGCAGGCACCGGGGGCCCAGACCUUGAGCUGUGUCAGGGGCCCCAACAUUUCUGAUGGCAGCCCUGGGUGUCCUAUCCCUAGGAAUGCAGGAGAAGUGCUUUAGGCUUGGCUGUCAGAUUUACAUGUGCAGUUGGAAGAUCUCUUCACCUUGCAACAUUUUGAAGGGGGGAGAAGAGAGAGAGUCUGAUCUUCUCCCUCCUGCUGCUGCACAAUAAUGCCCUGUUUCUGCCAUUAGUGAACUGGUCUGAAACUGAAAUGGGUGGGUUAGAGAGAAGAGGAAUACCGCACAAACUCCUCUAGCUGAGAGGCAUGUCCCACAAUGCAAUCUGACCAAGUUUAUAGUAUGUUUUAUAAAUAUUUAUUAUAUACUUUCAAAGUGUUUUUGUAUUUAUUUAUUUUUAUUUAUUUUGAUUUGUAUAUUUGUUUAAAAUUAUUUGCUUGCUGGUAUGAAAAAAGUAAUUGAGAAUUGAGUUGACAUAAUCAAAAGAACCUGUCUUUUAAACUGUGUAUGUAAUUGAUUUAAAGAGGCAAAAAUAAUCACUUUGUGAUUAUCUUAAAACAAUGCAAGGCCAUUAAAAAGUUGGCUACAAACGGGAAUAACUUUAAUCAUCCUUUUGGUGCAAAACAUGCAAACUCUUUCAACCCCAUGAUUCCAUCAUUCUCUAUCAAUUUGUUGCACAUCCUACAUGUCAUUGUAAUACAUAUUUUUUUUGUGUGUUUUGGAGUACGAGUCUUUUGUAAAUAGAAUGUCUGUCAAUUAAAGCAGCCCUACGUGUGUGCCAUAACAAAGACUGUUCAGUAUGUAAUGACAUAAUGACACUCUUACAUCUCAUAAAUUCAUACAAGAAUAUCAUUGAAUGGUCAUUUGUGAUUGAGGGGUUCUUCAAGAUUAGAAUUUAGCGUAUUUUAGAUUCUCGAAGCUGUAGCUACUAACUUUACUACUGCUAGUGUUAAGCCAUUUUAUAAGUUUAUUGUCCAGCAAUAUCCACUGUACAUGUUUUAGGAAGCCACUUUUACCCUUAACAUAACUAUGAAUUCCUGCAUUUAUUCACAGAUCACCAGUCCUCCAUUGUACAGAAGACCAAACGUUGGGCCUCCUGAAACUUGUAUUUUAGAACGUGGAACUCUUCUUGGUUGCUUGUACUUGAAGACGACAUAAUGCGGCAGCUGAAAGGGAAGCCCAAGAAAGAGACAUCUAGAGAUAAAAAGGAGAGAAAACAGGCUAUGCAGGAGGCUCGGCAGCAGAUAACUACAGUAGUGCUUCCAACAUUGGCCGUUGUGGUGGUGUUAAUUGUUGUGUUUGUAUAUGUAGCAACACGUCCGAACACGAUUGAAUAAUGUGUCCUCACCUUUUACGGGUGCACAAGCCUUGUGCAAAUGGUGCCAAAAACAACCUUUUUAUUCUAAUUUUGACAUUGACAGUUUGUAAGCCGGACCCUUAAACCAUCUAUGUCUGUUCUUGUUCUUGAAUGUAAAAAUCAGAAAACAAGGACAUUGUGUAUUAACAAAUGUGCCAUAAAUUUUAAAUUUUAUGUAUUAAAAAAAAAAAAUACAGUUGUGCCUUUUACACUUUCAGAAAAUCAUUUUUAAAUAAAAAAGCUUAAUCGCAAAAAUGUUAAAAAAAAAAAAAAAAGAGAGAGAGAAACCCAGAUUUUAGCUAAUUAUAUACCUGUAUAAAUCUGUGCCCUGUUUCAGAUUAAUAUUCUUUCUCACAGUUGCCAAAGGACUAUGCUUUGUGGUAAAACCAGUUUCAAUAUAUUGUAUCCAACUUCCAUGAUAUUUAUUUUUUGAAUAAAG